This 88134-nucleotide long non-coding RNA is filed under the name Eucalyptus grandis. Its description in RNAcentral is "long non-coding RNA (EGRA_LNC005496)". The record is from RNAcentral. Lineage: Eukaryota; Viridiplantae; Streptophyta; Magnoliopsida; Myrtales; Myrtaceae.
AUGUCGCACGCCCUGAAUAGACAUCAUCCGGUCAUCGAAAAAUACCGACAAAGUCUGUCAAUUCUGCAGUAGUUUUUUUAGGUUGAUUUGCUGUUUUGACCUACUGCAAUUUUCUGUUUUAACCGGAACGAGCUGGAAGAUGUUGUUAUUAGGACUUAAUGUCUUCUAGAGAUUUGUAAUAGGCUUCUCAAACUUUCCAUUGACAUAUUAUAUGUGCGAUUUGGUCAUCAUUUGCCCUGCCUUUCCUUUUUUCAAAUCGAGCUUUGAAAUCUGGAAUUUGUCUUGAACUGCAAUGCUGUCUUUUCUGUGGCUAGUUGCUGUUAAUCUUAAAAUAAGAUAGUAGAUUUGUCCAAAUUGCCUUCAAUAUGUUGUAAAAUGACGGUGUGACAUGCUACUAUGAUCUAUUUUUGAUUGAUUUGUUCAUGUUCUUAAUAUUUUUAGAAAUUCAUGCGUUAGGAAUCUUGAGGUGCUUCCUUCAUGGAAUGACAUCCUUUAUCAAUUGUCUACAAAACGGUUUUAGGUAUCAUGUGGGUUACACAUUGAUUGCUCCGCUUGCCUUAAAUACAUAUGUUGAGUGAAUUCAAUGGUGCGUGUUUUGGAAUAAGUGAUCUUUAGUUGGUUCAUUCAUUGUUUUGAGUUGAUUGAGGACCAAGGUUAUAUGGCUUGAAUGUUUGUCAUGUUAUAUGCUUUGUGUGUGAUCGUUAUAUGGAUGAUUUAGGUGUAAUACAUAAUGAUGCUAAAUCUUGGGAUUUCACUUAGAAUUUGAUCUAGAAGACUUUGUGACUUUAGUCACUCUUUGUGAACAUAAAAGAAUGUCUUGCUUUUGAUUGUUUCGAUACGUGAUGAUUGUUUUUUUCAUUUGUAUGCAUCUAAUCAUCCAGAUUUUCUAUAUUAGGUUUAGAAUAGGAUCCAAAAAGUGGAGAAGAAGUGAAGAUGGUGGAGGUCGAUGUCCACUCCGACCGUUAUUCUGUAAUAUUCGUUUUUCUCCCGACAUAUGUCUCGGGUUCCUUGUGUUGUAUAAAACUCGACGAGUUGCGGGUUUUCUCUUUUUCCCUUUUUUUUUUCUUAAUUGUGUUUUCUCUUUUAUAUUUUUAGAAUUGCAUGAUUAGGUUUAUUGCUUUCUCUUGAUUGUUUACUUCAUGUCUUGCACUUUCAAUUUCAUUGAUUGUUUUCUUUUCAUUUUUUUAGAAAUAAAAUAGCAUGAAAAUGAUCAACCACGCAUGAUCACUUAGCCUAGGAAUUGAUGAUCCCGAAAAUGUAAAAAGAAACGCAUGGAUAUAUUAGGAAAAACACAACAUACUGUUUAGGUACCGAAAGGGCGCUAAUAGCAAUAUUAGCGUAAUCCAAGUCCCCGAACCUAGAUAUCUGGUUACGUAGGAAUCGAUGGAGCACUCCCGACUCUCGAUUGGGUUUCUAGUCGACCCCCGAAAAUGAGGCUAGUGGCGACUCCUGUAUAUUUUUAGGUUGUUAUAAAUACCUAGAUUAUAUAAAUAAAUCCGCUGUCACGCGGGGUACGAGCUUGGGAGAGCUUGUGAUCUUGAGAUCAAGUACCCCUAAACCCGACCUUUCCCCAUCUUGGAUACUUUUCGAGGGGGCGGCGAGAUCGGGUCGCGACAGGCUUGUGCUUGGAGGAGUCUACGUUUGUUUAUUCAUGGCUUUGCCUUUCUUAUUGUGGCAAUUUUCUGUUAUGUUCGUGCAGGUAAUGAAGAUAAUAAAUAAUUAGAUUAAAAUUUUAAUGAAGUUGCCGAUCGCUUAGUAAGAAUUGUUAUUACUUUUUGUCUAGGUGAUUUAUAUCCAUGGGAAACACAAGACGUAUGAUCACAUUUGUGGGUUCACGCAUGGUGCAAAUAAGUUGUGAGUUAGAAGAGAAGCUCGAAAAAGUACACAAUGGUGACAAGUUAUGUUAUAAUUCAAAGGUUGAACUGAUCAGCCUCAAGAAGAGAAAUGUGAAUGCAUCAGGUAAGACUUACCUACAUAUAUAUUGUACAAUUUUUCAUCAUACUAUACUGAGAUGGUCCGAGUAUUGAUAUGGUUUGAUAAUAUUAGAUCCUUCUUUUGAUAUUUAGAAUUUCUUGUCUAGUAGCUGCCUCUAGAAAAAAGGAAGCACAACUUUAUGUGUCUAUAGGGCAUAUGGAAUCUUUCUCCUGAGAAAUGCAUCACUUCAAGUUAGGGAAGAAAAUGCAGCCUAUUGGAGGUUUAAGGAGUUUCUUGGAACCAUUGCUAGCGUGUUGGCACUAUUGUUCACAACUUUGAAGCAAACUACCAAGGAUAUGAGGAUGCCAUGAUUAGGAUCGUAGAGGUAGUUAGCUUGUACUUGUAUGAAAUUUUAUUCAUGUCAUAAAUAAAUUUAUCAUCAUUAUUAAUAUUUCUUUGUUGUUGUCUAAGUUUGAUUAUCUUCAUACCAACCAUGGAAAAAUGGAUUCUACAUUCCUUAAUACUGGAAAAGUGAUCUAAAAACUGCUCAAUAUGAUAGCUUUCGAUCAUUCUCAUAUCAUUUGAAGAAUCUGUCAGAAAGAGUGAGGAGAGAUCAAUGCAAAAAUCUAGUGACUUUUUGGAGUUCAUGGGACACAUUGUUUUAAUAUAUGACCUGUCAACUUAAAUAGACUCUCAUUACCUCUUACUGACUAUUUUCUGAUAACCUUGUUUUUUUAAUUGGAGAAGCUGAGUGAAACAAAUAAGGUAAUGGAGCAAAACAAAAAAAUAUGACACACCUUAGGAAACAAAAUUUUUGCUAGAAUAAAAAUAGAAAAGGUAAGUAUUCUCAUGUUUCCCCUUAGAUUUUUGUGUUUCCCUGUAAGUGAUAUUUCCAUUGUGUAAUCAAUAAUUUCUCUUUAGAAAAGAUUCUGCUGAGGUGAUAUCUUUGGACUUAAGGUAAAGAUGUCUAGAGAUAUUUGCCACUUUUCCGACACUACGUGUGUUUAGAUAGCAGUUGUCAUAGGAAGAAAAGAUAGGAUGUGUUCUAGAAAUGCCUCCUUAAGAUUGUCUACGUUCUUAGCACGUGCAUCGAUUUCUUGUUAUUAUUCCCUUAGCUCUAUGAUUUGGAUUUGCUAGUGACAGCACAAUAAUCCACAACUUGGUUCAGGUUUAUCUAGAACACAAUGUCCAAAAUCAUUAACAAAAGAGCUAUGCAGCAGCUAGAGCUAUAAAGUAAAUUAUAAAUGAUGAAACCUGUACAAUUUUCUAUUAAUUUGCUAACGUGACUGCAGUUUGGUUUAAUGAGAGAGAUCAAAAAAUAGAAAAGUACUGUAGCCCUAAAAUACCCAAUUGCUAGCUGUGCCAUUUCACAUGCAUGCACACAUCCCCUUAAUUGUUGAAAAGCCAUUCAAUAUAGUUCAUCUAGUGUCAACAAAUGUUAUUCAGUCUUGGCAAUGACAAUAUUGCUGCUGUAAUGUUAAUCCGGGAGUGUUUAGCUUAGAGAAAAAGGACCAUAGGCGAGCCGACGAAAAUCCCAUUUCGUUUUAUUGAGACGGAUCGAAAAUUCAGGAUGUCACAAUAGGGGUAUUCCUUUGCAUGGAACAAUUGUGUGCUAUAUAUCUAAGUUGCCCGUAUAUAAAAAGGAUGAUCUACUAUCAUUUGGAGCAUCCUCAAUAUAGAACAAUCUUGUACGACACGUCUCAUUUUCCCACAUAGAAAGUAUGCCCUUAUGUUCCAGUAAUACCAACAAGUGUUAUGUUUUCCACAAGUGUUGGCCCUGAUUAUUUUGAUUUCUAGACUUCCUUGGCCUAUUAUUGGGUAGAAGUACAGUAUAAAUGUAAAAUUUUGGUAUGUAGAGACAUUUAAGUAUCAAAAGUUACACAAGGUACACAUAAGUGUCACUUUUUUUUGAAAAAUUGGACAUUUAGGGGGUGUUUGUUUGUAUUUUUUUUUGUUUAUGAACAAAAAUCCUUUUUUUUGUUUGUUCCAGAGAAUAAAAAAAGAACAAAAAUGUGUUUGUUUGCGUUUUUGUUCCAAAUCUAUUUUUUUUUGUUCCCGGGAACAAAUUUGAAACAGAAACAAGAAACAAAAAAACUUGUUUCUUGUUUCUGAAACACUUUUAAGAAACAAAUUUUCUCUCUCUUCUAUUUUUCUUCUCUUUCUUUCUUCUUCUUUUCUUUUUCUUUUUUUUUUGGCCGGUCACCGGCCUCGGCCAUGGCCGACGACCUUGCUAGAGCGUCGCCGGCCCCUAGCGAGGCUCGGCCUUGCCAGAUCCAAGAGAGCCUGAGCUCGCCCAGCCAAGGCGAGGCCGAGCCUUGCGCUGGCUAACGACACUCCGCCUUGCCUUGGUUAGGUGAGCUCGAGCUCGCCCAGAUCUGGUGCCGCCUGGAGGUGGCCCAGCGAGGCUCAGCCUCACCAAAUUUGAGCGAGCUCGAGCUCGCCCAGCCAAGGCAAGGCCAAGCCUCGCGUCAACCGGCGACGCUCGGCCUCGCCUUGGCUGGGCAAGCUCAAGCUCACCUAGAUCCGGCGAGCCUCGCCAUGGCUAGGCGAGGCCGCCAGCCCUCAUCGGCCGGUCACCGGCCAUGGCCGAGGUCGGCGACCAACUACAAGGAAGAAAUAAAGAAAAAUUAAAAAAAAUUAAAAAAUUAAAAGAAACAAAAAAAGAACACAAAUUUACCAAACAUGUUUUUGUUCUUUUUAUUUAUUUAUUCCUGGAACAAGUUUACCAAUUACGUUCUUCUGGUAAAAAAUUAUUCCCUAGAAUAGAAAUAGUUUUUUCUAUUUAUGUUUCCUAGAACAAUUUUUGAACAUAAAUGUUAUCACACGCACCUAUAAGUGCCAAUUCCGAUUAAAGAUGCUAGAAAUCCCAUAUAACAUAUUUUUUUAAUAAUAUAACUUGCCUACAUGGCUCACUGGACAGCUAAGUUAGCAAAGUAGAGCCAAAACAAUGUCAUUUUGCCCCUUAUUUGAAUUUUAAUAUGAAUAUUAAUUAAAUUAAAUUUAAAACUAAAUUUAAUAAAUAAAUAUUACAAAAAAAAACAUGGGUUUGCAACUCAGCCCUCACUGCCGCCUCCCCAUCAUUGCUGGGAAGGGCCGGCAAUGGUGGGAGGAGCGUUGCUUAGGGUCGUCGAGCCUUGGUUAGGGGAUGUAACCAGUGGCGACCCUGGCCAACUAGCAUCGAGGGCCUACAAGCCCUCACCCAAAUCUGGGGCAAGGGUCCCAACCUUCCCUCAGAUGCAGCAAAGGUCGCUAGCCCUCGCCUAGUCAAGCCAAAGGCCACCACUGGUUGGGUCACCUAACUAAGGCCUAGUGACCCUAAUCGACCCUCCCUUCACCAUCGCUAGCCCUUCUCAGCAAUGGUGAGAGGCUGCACCCUCGUUGUUCUACAAACCCAUCUUCCCCUUUUUUUUUAUAUUUAUUUAUUAUUUAUCAAAUUUAGUUUUAAAUUUAAUUUAAUAAUAUUUAUAUUAAAAUUCAAAUCCCAAGCAAAAGAACAUCGUUUUUGGCUUUUCUUUCCACGUUAGAGUGCAAAACGACAUCGUUAUACACUGAUCUCAUUGGAAAAAUGUUACGUUAAUAUUUUGACUGUAUUUUCUUGUCACUGGUACUUAGCUAAUCCAUUUUACUCCUAUUUUGGCACUUAUGUGUACCUUUCGAAACUUUUGGCACUCAAAUGUUUCCUCGUGUCAAAUUUUCGCACUCCAAGUGUCUGCGUCCCCUUAUUAUUGCCUCUCUAGUUAUUCCUGCUUUGAGUAAAAUUCCCAUUGGCAUGUUAGAGUAGUUUUAUUUAUGAAUAAACUUAGUUUAAUCGAAUCUUGUUUUGGAUAGUUAUCUACUUGCUUUUGAUAUAAAUUUCUUACCCAAUAUAUAAGAUUUUGAUUUUUUCUGCUCAAAGUAGUUUUCAUUGUUUGGUUUCCCAAUGUCAAGUGAGUGAUGCUUAUCUCUUCUUAGAUUUGGAAACCCAUGUAUUGAAACAAUUAAAAAGGAAAAGUGGUGUUUCAAGCAUAUUUGUUGCAUAAAGCUAGAUCAAGUAAUUACUAUCCGUUUGUUCAUUAGAUAUUGCAUAGUAAACCAUUUCUUAAAAUAGUUUGUGAGUUAAUUAUUUGUUAUAAGGUUUGGGAAAUGCUAUGUAAAAAGUAUUGUGCUUGAUGGAUUAAAUUAUGAAAGGCUAUAUGAUUUGUGAAUCCAAUUCAUGAAAUGGAUUCAGAAUUGGUUUUGUAGAUGGUUGGAUAAUGAGUCAGUUGUUUAUCAUAAUCACUAUGAUCUAAACCUUUACAGGGUUGAACAUAUGCAUAUUGUUCUUAAGAAUUGGUUUUGUAGAUGGUUGGAUAAUGAGUUAGUUGUUUAUCAUAAUCACUAUGAUCUAAACCUUUACGGAGUUGAACAUAUGCAUAUUGUUCUUAAGACAUGCCAUUAGGGCCAAGCCACCAGUUGUCAUUGGUGAAGGCAUACGUGACCAAAUAAACAUUGUUAAGCUACAUAAAACAACUAUUUUGUGAGAUAAUUGGAGCAAGGUUGGCAAAUCAUACAAAAAAGGAGUGCCAAACACCCUAAGUGCCAAAACUUGGCGUGGGUAAAUACUUAAGUACCAGAAUUUCUAAAAGGUACACUUAAGUACCAAAAUCAGAGAAGAAAAUAACAUUUAAGUGCCAGCGGCGAGAAUUUCCAACUAAACUAUUGAUGUGGCUCUUUCCAACAAGAUUUUUUUUUUUUUUUUUAUUGAUGUGGCAAUUCUUUUAAAAAACUUAUCCACAUGAUGCUAACAUGGCUAGAUAUGCCCAAAACGAUACUGUUUUGACUGAAAAUUUGAUUUUUAAAUUAAAAAACUAAAUUACAAAAAAAGAAAAAAAGAGGGAGGUAGUAUUCGGCGAGGGCCUCCCUAGCCCUUGCCGUCGCUGCUGCCACCCCACCAUCGUUGAAAAGGGCAAGCGAUGGUGGGAUGAGGGUUAGCCGAGGUCGCCAGACCCCAGCAAGUGGCCAACGACCUUAGUUGACUGCCAGCGAGGGCUUGUAGGCCCUCAUCCAAAUCUAAGGCGAGAGGUCGUGGGUGACCCCAUCACAGCUAAUGGUGGCCCUUAGCCCCUUUGGGCGAGGGCUAGUGAUCUCGAUCGACCUUUGCCCCACCAUUGUCGACCCUUUCCAACGAUGGUGGGGCAACCAUGGCAAGGGCUAUGGAGGCCCUCGACUCUCGUUUUUUUAAUUUAGUUUUUAAUUUAAUAUAAUUAAUAAUUAUAUUAAAAAUCAAAUUUGGGGGCAAAAAGAUGUCGUUUUACACAUUGAUUGCUAAGUAGACAACCUUUAGUGAGCCACACAGACCCAUAUUUAUUAUUAAAAUAAUGCCACAUUGGAUUUCUAGCUAUCUUCACUAGAGUAGGCAUUUAAUUGUCCAAUUUUUAAAAAUAGUUGCACUUAAGUGUACAUUUUAGAUAUCUUGGUACUUGAGUGUCCACCUGUGCCAAAUUUUUGCACUCAUAGUGUACUUUUGCCUACAAAAAAGGUUAAAAUUUUCAAAUAAUAGUAGUAAACUCAAGGCAUUGCCAAUAAAGGUAAAUAAAAAUUAGUGAAAGAUAAACAAAGGUUUUUGUCAAAGAUAGAAGAAGAUGGCAAUUUAAAAACAAAAACAAAAUAAAUAUUGGCAAGUAUCUUAAAUAAGAGGUGGUAACUUGAUUAGAAAAGCUAGUCCUUGUAAGUAAAAAUAAUUGACUAUUGAUAAGCAACUCAAAUGAGAGUUAGUAACUCAAAACUAGUUGGUAAUUUGACCCCUGAAAACUUUGUGAGGUCACGCAAACAAAGAUUGAUCAUUUCAUAUGGUAGUUGGUAAAUUUAAACCUUAAGUAAGAAAGGUAAAUAAACGUUGGUAAGUAAUUAGAGAAGCUUUUUUUGGUUAAAGAUAAGAGAAAUUGGUAAUUUAAAAGAAAAUCCCAAAUAAAUAUUGGUAGCUAACUCAAGUAGGAGUCGGUAUGCAAAAUAAGUUGGAAACUUAAUUAGUUAAAAGUAGGGAAUCGCUAAAAGUUUCUAAAAACAACCGGUAGAUUUAUAAAGUUUGUCAAGAAGGCAAACAAAAGAAGUGACUUAAUAAAAAUUUUAUAAAUAAAAAAAUAAAUGAACUUUGACAUAAGCAACUCAAAUGAGAGUUGACAACGCUAGCCACUAGGUUACUUAAUUGGAGUGACAUGUUAGUAACUAAAAAUAUAUGGUAGUUGAUAAAACAUUGGUGGUAAACAAGAGAAGUUUUUUUUUUUUAGGUCAAUCACAAGGGAAAGUUUUAAUUGAAAAUAAAAAAACAUCAAUAGCUAACUCAACUAAGUAUAUGUAAUGCAAAUUUUGUUAAUGACUUGAUUGGAUAAUGUUGAGAAUCACUACAAUUCCAAUUCCCAAUUGCAAUUUCUAAAAAGGAGUUGGUAGAUUUAACAAGUGGAUAAAGGAGGCAAAUCAAAGUUGGUAACUCAUUGAAAAAGUGGAUAAAUUUUUUAGAAAAAUAAACAUUGGUAGGCAAUUCAAAUGAAACUUAGUAAAUCAAAGCUAUUCAAUAAUCUAAUGGGAGAACAACUGUUAACUCACACAAUUAAAGGUUGGUGAAGUCAUAUAAAAGUUGAUAAAUUUAAGUCAUCCAUAAGAGAGACAAAUAAAAGUUGGUAAUAAUAAGAAAAUUUGAUAAAUUAAAGUAAGAUCAAAUAAAUAUCGGUAAGUAAUUCAAAUAAAAGCUGGAAAACCAAAACUAGUUGGUAAUUUGAUUGGAAAAAAAGUUGAUAAGUCACUCAAAUAAAUAUUAAAAGAUUCAUAUAUUUGUUGGUAAAUAUUAAUGAUUCAAAAUAAAAGUUAGUGUAAACUGCUAAAAGAGUUGGUAAUUUCAUGAAACUCUUGCUAAAUUACCAAUAAAUUACGGAAUAAUAAGGGACCGGUAGCUUAUUUCUACUUGUAUUUUUAUAUUUAUUAACUCUAUCAGAAAUCUACAAGCAAUGAACAAAAAUCAUUUUUUUAGCAAAAGAAUAGAAUUGUCCUAUUUACUUUUCAUCAUAAUUAUUUAAAAUAUAUAUACAUAACCAAAUCACUUAGUGGCUUGAGAAAUGAGAGAUUAACCCACUAAGCCAUGAGUGUUCUCAUAACUUUUAUUCUUAUCAUACGGAUACCAAUUCAAUUAUAAAUUAUUAUUUUUGUCAAUUAAGCCAUGAAUCUUGUAAAUAUCGUACUUUCAGUCAAUUUGAAUUAGAAAUUACUGACAUAGACGUUAGUUGUCUUAUGUGACACGAUUGUUGCUGACAUAGACAAUUUUUAUAAUUUUGUUAGACUUUUUGAAUUUUUUAUUUUAUAUAUUCUUUUUCUUUCUUACUUUUCCUUCUUUUUUUUCUUCUAAGUUUGAUGAGGAUCGUCGACCCUCACUUGCCAUAGAUUUGGCAAGGGCUACAAAGCCCUCCCCAAUCAUGGUCAAGGGUCGUCGGCCCUCUCUUGUGGUCGACAAGGGUCGAGUGGCCCUCAUUGAACUUGGUAAAAAAAAAUGGAAAAGAAAGAAAAAUAAUAAAAAUAAUAAUAAAUUAUAAAAAUUGUCCACAUCAUAGUGUCAACAUCAACAAUUUUCAAUUAAAAUUGGCCAAAAUGACUACAUUAGUAAAUCAUCAAAUUUUUUAGGAUUCAAUUUAUAAAAUUCAAAAACUUAAAACUAAAUUGACAUAUGUAUAAUAGGUUUAUGACUUUUUGGGUAAUUUUACUCAUUUGCUAUUGAUAAUGCUUUAAAAAGUUCAUUUAAUAUCUUAUUAAUCUUUCAGAAUGAGAAGGGAAAAAAAAAAGAAUCGAUUGGUUUUUAUUUUCCUUAAGGACAAUUAUUAUUUUUUUUUUGGUCAAUCAAACAUUAUGUAAGUCAAAUCCUUUUCAUGUAGACUCCUAGCAAGGUUUGGAUAACCAAGGAUACUGGAGUUGGCAAUUGAUUAUCUAGACCUUGCUAUAAGGCAGCCAGUCCAACAUAGUGCAUUUCACCCUCCCAUUUUCACCCUAGACGUGAAAGGCUAUUAUACCUGCCUAUCCGACAGUAGCCAGAGUGUUUCCACCCUAACGUGGUGUCUAUUUUCACAACUAAAGGGCCUCCUAAUUCCCUUCUCUAUCUUUUUCUUCCCGAAGAGGAGGGAAUAUGGGAGUGACAUUAUAGGGUCUUUCAUCUUAGGGUGAAUCUCUCGCCUAUUUCUUCCCCUUAAGUAUUUUAAGGACCUGCUUAGGUCCAAGUCUACUUUAUUUAGUAUCUUAUCAUAGUUGUUUUCUUUUCAUAAGUUCACACAUGUAUGUGUGUAUGUAUGUAUGUAUGUAUGUAUGUAUGUAUACACACGUAAUAUAUAUAAAAAUAGGUUUUCAUAAGCCUGGAAGAAUUUUAUACUAAUGGUGGUCAUCUUUAAUGAACAGGAUAAGAAAAACGCUUUAAUGUCAACACAAGAAAGAAAUUAGGAGAAACCCUUUCUUGUGCGAAGGAAAAGACGAAGAAGAAGAUAAGAAAUAAUCAAUCCAUUGUUUUAUAUUUUCCACUUACUUAUCUUAUGUUUAGUAUCCGUUGAAUUUUAGAUGUUAAUCAUUAUUAGAAUAUGAAACUAUUGAUCCAUUAUAUGACAUUCAAUCUUGCAAGAGGGACAUAGUGAUGCCACUCGAAUUUGGCUUGAAAAGGAAAUGGAUAAAGUCAAAUAAUAUUCUUCAAAUACACAUGCUAUGACUAGAAUGUGAGACAUGUUAUUUCUAACAUCGAUAUCCGAAAUAGAAUACAAGCAAGAAGCUUUUAAUAAUUAUUUAUCAUAUAUAACAUAAUUGAAUCGUCAAAACAAUAAUUCGAUUCUUUUUACUAAAUUAAUAUUGGAAAUCUAUAAAACCUAGAAAUCAAUUUCAGACAAUUGAACUUCUCAAGUCGUCUCUUGUUGAGAACAAAAGGUAUUUGUGCCAAUAUAUAAUAUGCUAAAAAAAAUAAAAUGCCUAGAACAUGGAAUUGAUCUUAAAAGUACUAUUUCUAUAUCAUGGCAGGAGAGAUAAUUAUCAAAUCAAUGCUAAAUCUAUUGUUUAAAUACUAAUUCAGUCCUAAAUAAUUUUGUCUAAUGUAAUUUUAAACCUUUGUGCAAAAUUUCGAAAUAGUUCUUUUAUCCAACUACCGCAAAAAACUGUUGAUGUCAUGCCUAGUCAUCUCCGAUCAUCCUACAUAGUAAAUGAUAGUGAUGGCUUUGCUCAAAGUAACAUCUUUUGUGGACCACAAUGUUAGCAAUUGGCCAGAAUGACUAUUUUGAAAUUUCGCACAAAGGUUUAUGUUGAUGCUCAAGUUUUUAUAGACGUUUUAAGUAUUCGCUCAUUUUAUGAGAUAUACAAAAUAAAUAUAAUAAUAAAGAAUGAGAAAAUUAAACAAAAAGUAAUGGUAAUAAAAAAAUAAAAAAGAGAUAUAAAACGAAGGAGAUAAAAAAAAAUGGUAAUAAAAUUCGGAGCCCAUAUUCCUUAGCAAAUUUCGGACCUGCCGAGCCCGCGUAACCAGCCCAUUUCUCUUAUUUCGUUUAUGUCUUUCAAACUCACUUUGCUUGGCCCAUUUUCCUUUCUUUGUUCACAUAAGCCCAUCAGAACUAAAAAGAAACAAAAAGCCCAGCCCAGCCCAGCCCAGCCCAGCUCAGCCUUUCCUCUGGCCUUGCUUCGGUAAGGAGCAGCGUGCUUGGGGAGAAGAAAAGGAGAAGCGACCGCAGCGACACAGCAGAAAGACAGGAGCGUUCGGCCAUUGUUGAGGGAGGGGAGAGCAAGGUUGGCUCUGCAAAAAAGUGACAACCAGAGGGAAGGAGGGACAGCCAAGGGAAAAGUUCACUAGAGACAUGUAGCUCGCUCGACGGAGGAGAGCUCAUUGGAAGCAGCCAAGGAGAAAGGAGAAAUCUGAGAGAAUGAGAGAGUGCCGCGGGUUUCGAUCUCAGAGAUGAACUCAAGAUGGGUUCGACGAGAUCGAAUCUGGCGGAGUCGUCGACUGCAGGGAGGAUGAAGUCAGAGUUGAUGGCGAGGUGAGCGAUGAUGUCACCGGCGAGAGGAUGGAGUUAGAGUUGACGGCAAGGAUGGACAGCUUCAGAGUCGACGGCGCUAGGGUUUUUGGUUGAAGCGUUGAGGAGAAGGAACGCCCCCAUCUGGUGAACGAAGAAGAUGCCCAAAUUGGAGAAAAGAAGAAACGAUUUCUAUUCAUAUUUCAGAAACUGAGAAGUUACAAUUUUUAGCUUCUGAUUUCUCCUCCAAAUCAAUUUCUGGAAUAGAAAUCUAUUUUAGAAAUAAAGAAAUCAAAUUGCAUUACCAAAGGGAUUUCUGUUCCAAACUUGUUCCGGGGAACAGAGAAAUAGAGAAAUCAAGAAACAGAAAUUUAUUAUGUGCAGCCUUAAGUACCAAAAUCAGAGAAGAAAUGAACAUUUAAGUGGCAAUGGCGAGAAUUUCCAACUAAACUGUUGAUGUGGCUCUUUCCGGCAAGAUUUUUUUAUUGAUGUGGCAAUUCUUAUAAAAAAUUUAUCCACAUGAUGCUAACUUGGCUAGAUAUGCCCAAAACGAUGUUGUUUUAACUCCAAAUUUGAUUUUUAAAUUAAAAAACUAAAUUACAAAAAAUGAAAAAAAAAAAGAGGGAGGCAGCAUUUGGCGAGGGCCUCCCUAGCCCUUGUUGUCGCCGCCGCCACCUCACCAUCGCAAAAAAGGGCCAACGACGAUGGGAUGACGGUUAGCCAAGGUCGCCAAACCCAAGCAAGUGACCAACGACCUUAGUUGACUACCAACGAGGGCUUGUAGGCCCCGUCCAAAUCUGGGGUGAGAGGUCGUGGGUGAUCCCAUCACAGCUAACAGGGCCCUUAGCCCCUUUGGGCGAGGGCCAGUGACCCCGACUAACCUUUGCCCCACCGUUGUCAACCCUUUUUGACAAUGGUGGGGCAACCAUGGCAAGGGCUAUGGAGGCCCUCGAUGAAUGCUACCUCUCUCCUUUUUUUAAUUUAGUUUUUAAAUAUAAUAUAAUUAAUAAUUAUAUUACAAAUCAAAUUUGGGGGCAAAAAGAUGUCGUUUUGCACAUUGAUUGCUAAGUAGACAACUCUAGUGAGCCAUAUAGACUAUAUUUAUUAUUAAAAUAAUGCCACAUUGGAUUUCUAGCUAUCUUCACUAGAGGAGGCAUUUAAUUGUCCAAUUUUCAAAAAUAGUUGCACUUAAGUGUACAUUUUAGAUAUCUUGGUACUUGAGUAUCCACCUGUGCCAAAUUUUCGCACUCGUAGUGUACUUUUGCCUACAAAAAAGUUUAAAAUUUUCAAAUAAUAGUAGUAAACUCAAGGCGUUGCCAAGAAAGGUAAAUAAAAAUUAGUAAAAGAUAAACAAAGGUUUUUGUCAAAGAUAGAAGAAGAUGGCAAUUUAAAAACAAAAACAAAAUAAAUAUUGGCAAGUAUCUUAAAAAAGAGGUGGUAACUUGAUUGGAAAUAUGCCAGUAAUCACUCUAAUGAAGUUGGCAAUUUCAAAAAAAGAGUUGGUAAAUUGAAAAUGUUAGUGAGUGAGGCCAAUAAAAGUGGUAACUCAAUAGAAAAGCUAGUCCAUGUAAGUAAAAAUAAUUAACUAUUGAGAAGCAACUCAGACAAGAGUUAAACUCAAAACUAGUUGGUAAUUUAAACCCCGUAACUUUGUGAGGUCACGCAAACAAAGAUUGAUAAUUUCAUAUAGUAGUUAGUAAAUUUAAACCUUUAGUAAGAAAGGUAAAUAAAAGAUGGUAAGUAAUUAGAGAAGCUUUUUUUAGUUAAAGAUAAGAGAAGUUGGUAAUUUAAAAGAAAAUCCCAAAUAAACAUUGGUAGCUAACUCAAGUAGGUUAGUUAAAAGUAGGGAAUCGCUAAAAGUUUCUAAAAACAACCGGUAGAUUUAUAAAGUUUGUUAAGAAGGCAAACAAAAGAAGUGACUUAAUAAAAAUUUUAUAAAUAAAAAAUAAAUGAACUUUGAUAUAAGCAACUUCAAUGAGAGUUGGCAACGCUAGCCACUAGGUUACUUAAUUGGAGUGACAUGUUAGUAACUAAAAAUAUAUGGUAAUUGAUAAAACAUUGGUGGUAAACAGGAGAAGUUUUUUUUUUUUUUUAAUUUUUUUUGGUCAAUCACAAGGGAAAGUUUUAAUUGAAAAUAAACAAACAUCAAUAGCUAACUCAACUAAGUAUAUAUACUGCAAAUUUUGUUAAUGACUUGAUUGGAUAAUGUUGAGAAUCACUCCAAUUCCAAUUCCCAUUAGUAAUUUCUGAAAAAGGAGUUGGUAGAUUUAACAAGUGGAUAAAGGAGGCAAAUCAAAGUUGGUAACUCAUUGAAAAAGUGGAUAAUUUUUUUAGAAAAUUAAACAUUGGUAGGCAAUUCAAAUGAAACUUAGUAAAUCAAAGCUAUUCAAUAAUCUAAUGGGAGAACAACUGUUAACUCACACAAUUGAAGGUUGGUGAAGUCAUAUAAAAGUUGAUAAAUUUAAGUCAUCUAUAAGAGAGACAAAUAAACUUUGGUAAUAAUAAGAAAAUCUGAUAAAUUAAAGUAAGAUCAAAUAAAUAUUGGUAAGUAAUUCAAAUGAAAGAUGGAAAACCAAAACUAGUUGGUAAUUUGAUCGAAAAAAAAAGUUAAUAAGUCACUCAAAUAAAUAUUAAAAGAUUCAUAUAUUUGUUGGUAAAUAUUAACGAUCCAAACAAAAAGUUAGUGUAAACUGUUAAAAAGAGUUGGUAAUUUCAUGAAACUCUUGCUAAAUUACCAAUAAGUUACAUAAUAACAAGGGACUGGUAGCUUAUUCUACUUGUAUUUUUAUAUUCAUUAACUCUAUCAGAAAUCUACAAGCAAUGAACAAAAAUCAUUUUUUUAGCAGAACAAUAGAAUUGUCCUAAUUUACUUUUCAUCAUAAUUAUUUAAAAUAUAUAUAUACAUAACCAAAUCACUUAGUGGCUUGAGAAAUAAGAGGUUAACCCACUAAGCCAUGAGUAUUCUCAUAACUUGUAUUCCUAUUAUAAGGAUACCAAUUCAAUUAUAAAUCGUUUAUUUUUGUCAAUUAAGUCAUGAAUCUUGCCAAUAUCGUACUUUCAGUCAAUUUGAAUUAGAAAUUACUGACAUAGAUAUUGGUUGUCUUAUGUGACACGAUUGUCGCUGAUGUAGACAAUUUUAUAAUUUUGUUAGACUUUUUGAAUUUUUUUUAUUUUAUAUAUUCUUUUUCUUUCUUACUUUUCCUCUUUUUUUUCUUCUAAGUCCGAUGAGGGUCGUCGACUCUCACUUGCCAUAGAUCUAGCGAGGGCUACGAAGCCCUCCCCAAUCAUGGUCAAGGGUUGUUGGCCCUUGCUUGUGGUCAACGAGGGUUGAGUGGCCCUCAUAGUACUCGGUACAAAAAAAAAAAAAAGGAAAAGAAAGAAAGAAAAUAAAAAAAAAAUAAUAAAUUAUAAAAAUUGUCCACAUCAUAGUGUCAACAUCAACAAUUUUCAAUUAAAAUUGGCCAAAAUGACAACAUUAGUAAAUCAUCAAAAGUUUUAGGAUUCAAUUUACAAAAUUCAAAAGCUUAAAACUAAAUUGACAUAUGUACAAUAUGUUUAUGACAUUUUGGGUAAUUUUACUCAUUUACUAUUGAUAAUGCUUUGAAAAGUUCAUUUAAUAUCUUAUUAAUCUUUCAGAAUGAGAACGGAAAAAAAGAAGAAGAAUCGAUUGGUUUUAUUUUCCUUAAGGAUAGUUAAUUUUUUUUUUUGGUCAAUCAAACAUUAUGUAAAUCAAAUCAUUUUCAUGUAGACUCCUAGCAAGGUUUAGAUAACCAGGGAUAUUGGAGUUGGCAAUUGAUUAUCUAGACCUUGUUGUAAGGCAACCAGUCCAACAGAGUGCAUUUCACCCUCCCAUUUUCACCCAAGAGGUGAAAGGCGAUUAUACCUGCUUAUCUGACAGUAGCCAGAGUGUUUCCACCAUGAUGUGGAGUCUAUUUUCACAACUAAAGGGUCUCCUAAUACCCCUCUCUAUCUUUUUCUUCCCGAAGAGGAGGGAAUAUGGGAGUGAUAUUAUGGGGUCUUUCAUCUUAGGGUGAAUCUCUCGCCUAUUUCUUCCCCUUAAGUAUUUUAAGGACCCGCUUAGGUCCAAGUCUACUCUAUUUAGUAUCUCAUCAAAGUUGUUUUCUUUUCAUAAGUUCACGAGAAUAGAAUAUAUAUAAACAUUUAUGUAUGUAUGUAUGUAUGUAUGUAUGUAUGUAUGUAUGUAUGUAUGCACACGUAAUAUAUAUAAAAAUGGGUUUUCAUAAGCCUGGAAGAAUUUUAUACUAACGGUGGUCAUCUUUAAUGAACAGGAUAAGAAAAACGCUUUAAUGUCAACACAAGAAAGAAAUGAGGAGAAACCCUUUCUUGUGAGAAGGAAAAGACGAAGAAGAAGAUAAGAAUAAUCAAUCCAUUGCUUUCUAAUUUCCACUUACUUAUCUUAUGUUUAGUAUCCACUGAAUUUUAGAUGUUACUCAUUAUUAGAAUAUAAAACUAUUGAUCCAUUAUAUGACAUUUCAAUCUUGCAAGAGGGACAUAGUGAUGCCACUCAAAUUUGGCUUGAAAAAGAAAUGGAUAAAGUCAAAUAAUAUUCUUCAAAUACACAUGCUAUGACUAGAAUGUGAGACAUGUUAUUUCUAACAUCGAUAUCCGAAAUAGAAUACAAGCAAGAAGCUUUUAAUAAUUAUUUAUCAUAUAAAAAAUAAUUGAAUCGUCAAAACAAUAAUUCGAUUCUUUUUACUAAAUUAAUAUUGGAAAUCUAUAAAACCUAGAAAUCAAUUUCAGACAAUUGAACUUCUCAAGUUGUCUCUUGUUGAGAACAAAAGGUAUUUGUGCCAAAAUAUUAUAUGCUAAGAAAAAAAGAAAAUGCCUAGAACAUGGAAUUGAUCUUAAAGUACUAUUUCUAUAUCAUGGCAGGAGAUAUAAUUAUCAAAUCAAUGUUAAAUCUAUUGUAUAAAUACUAAUUUAGUCCUAAUUUAUUUAUUUAUUUUGCCAAUGUAAUUUUAAACCUUUGUGCGAAAUUUUGAAAUAGUUCUUCUGUCCAACUGCCGCCGAAAACUAUUGACGUCACACCUAGUCAUAUCCGGUCAUCCUACAUAGUAAAUGAUAGUGACGACUUUGCUCAAACAACAUCUUAUGUGGCAAUUGGCCAAAAGGCACUAUUUUGAAACUUUGCACAAAAGUUUAUGUUGACACUCGAAUUUUUAUAGAUGUUUUAAGUAUUCACUCAAUUUACAAGAUAUAAAAAAUAAAUAUAAUAAUAAGAAAACAAGAAAAUUAAACAAAAAGUAAUGGUAAUAAAAAAUAAAAAAGAGAUAUAAAACGAAGGAGACAAAAAAAAAUGGUAAUAAAAUUCGGAGCCCAUAUUCCUUAGCAAAUUUCGGACCUGCCGAGCCCGCGUAACCAGCCAAUUUCUCUUAUUUCGUUUAUGUCUUUCAAACUCACUUUCCUUGGUUCUUUCUUUGGUCACAUAAGCCCAUCAGAACUAAAAAGAAACAAAAAGCCCAGCCCAGCCUAGCCCAGCCCAGCCCAGCCUUUCCUCUGGCCUUGCUUCGGUAAGGACCAGCGUGCUUGGGGAGAAGAAAAGGAGAAGCGACCGCGGCGACACAGCAGAAAGACGGGAGCGUUCGGCCAUUGUUGAGGGAGGGGAGAGCAAGGAAGGUUCUGCAAAAAAGUGACAACCAGAGGGAAGGAGGGACAGCCAGGGGAAAAGUUCACUAGAGACGUGUAGCUCGCUCGACGGAGGACAGCUCGCUGGAAGCAGCCAAGGAGAAAGGAGAAAUCUGAGAGAACGAGAGAGUGCAUCCCGUUUAGGAGCGACGGAAAACCGCAUCGCCGGAGCUCGCCGUCGAUUUUCAGAGCUCCGGUCAAAGGCCAAUCCGCGAGUUGUUCUUCACAGUUGCUCUAACCAGACGAUCUUCAUCGUCGUCAAUCGAGACCUCGAUCCGCCAAACAAACCGGGAACAAUCUCGCUCCAAACGCUCUUCUCUGUCUCAGUUUUGGCCGAGAAAGAAAUGCUCGACUCGAUCGAUUUUCUUGAAAGAAUCUUUGAUAAAACGAAUUUUUGUAUUGUUGCUAAAAAUGGUGUUUUAAGUCUGUACGUAACGUGUGAAGCUGAGGAUCUCGUUAAAAUCAAAAUCAGAGAACUGUUGAAAGAUCUGCAUAUUGCACGUUUGAUCAAAAUGCCUAACAGAGGGCCGAAAGUUCAAUCACGUUUAAACUCAAGAUCGAUUCGUACUUGCUGCGUCAUUUGUUGAAUCAUGUCUAAUACUAGCAUUUUCUCUGUGUUUCUAUGCGAUUUGAUGAAAAAUCUUUGCUCGAGUCCAACGUGCAUGCAUAUAUCUCCAAUGCUGGAAAGCUUUCCGUCGGAGAAUUCCAUCGCACCCAGCGAAGUCAGCGUUUCAAGGGCAUAUUAGUUAAGCCCAUCUCGCUUCAUUCUAAUGUAAGUUUUCUUGUGAACUUGCUGGGGUUGCUGCUGUUAAAAAAGUGGAUUCGGUAGGAUGGUUUUUGUUAAGUUUUCGGAUAGAUGGAGUGGGCAGCCGGAGGUGGUCAAAGUGGGUCGGAAUAGACGAUCGGCGGUCGGAGAUAGGUCGGCGGUGAUCUAAGCUUUCGUGAUAAACUCGUCGGUGAUGAUAUUUGUUUCGUUAAAAAGGAAUAUAAAAAAAAAAAAAAAAUUUGGCCGCGAAAGGUGGAGUUGCAGGUUGAAGAUGGUGUUCGGGUAGAGGAUGUCGAGAGAGGAAGGGAGAAAUGCAGGCAGAACGAGACAAAAACAGGAAAAGACAAAAACAAAUUAAAUAAAAAAAGGCAAAUCAAUUAAAAAAUUCAAAAGAAUAUUAGAAAUCGGUUUUAAUCCGACGCGGGUCGGAUCCGGCUAUACGGCUCGGGUCAUAGAUUCGGAUCGGAUUAACGGUCCGAACCCAUUCGCUGAAUAGAAUAAAAUAAAAUAAAAUAAACAAAUUCUGAAAAAAUUCUAAAAAAAUUCAUAAAAGAUAUAAAAAUCCUAAAAAUCAAUAAACAAUAGGAAAUUCGAAGAUAUAGAAAAAUUCCGAAAAUUUUUAAAAGUUAUUGUUAUAAAAAAUCGAAGAAUAGAAAAUUCUUAAAUAACAAUAAAAAUAAAAAAGUUCAGAAAAAUUCCAAAAAUAUUUAAAGAUUCAAAAAAAAAAAUUCCACAUACAUAGAUUUUUAAUCUCGAAAAUAAAUAAAAUAAAUAAAUAAAUAUUAAAAAUUCAGAAAAAUCAUUAAAAAUUCAUAAAAUUCUAGAAAAUGAGAAAAAAUUCAGAAAAAUUUGCAAAUUAUUUAAAAAAUUAAAAUAUAAAAUUAGACAACCCUUUAGCACUUUACAAUAGGAUUUUUAUUUUGAAUUUCCCAACAAAUUUAUGAUUCUUGGUGUACUUAUGCUUUGGAUAUUCUAUUUUUAUUGUAAAUAUCGCAAAUUAUAAAAUUCUAAUUGUUGGUAUAAUAGAGAUAUUUAAAUUUUUUUCUGAUUUUCUAUAUUUAUUUUGGUUAUCUAUAUCUAAUUAGAUUUUUUUUAUCUCCUUAAUUAUUCAACUACUCUUUUUUAGAACAUCGAAAUUUACAUAAACUUCAUAUUAAUCUCUUCCGCAUCAUUAUUCUUAACUUAAAAAAAAAAACAAAACUCUAAAGUUUUUUCACCACAAACCGUUCAGCUUCUCUCUAACAUUUUCUCUCUUCAUCACUCACAUCGUUCACUGUAAGCUCAAGCUCAAAUGCUCUCUCUCCGUUCAUCUUUGCUUUCACCAAUGCCUGUGCCCAGUGAGUGACUCGCUGACUGUGGUUCGUCUCUGUUCAUUGGUGGUGUCAUUUACUAUGGUUUUUUCUAUGUUCUUUUCUUCUUUUUGGUUUGGCUUUUUUAUAACUAGGAAUUGGAGUGAUUUAGGUUCAUGACUCGUGAAUCAACUCGAUAUCCGUAAAAUGUAUUUGCUGAUUGUCAAUUGUGAUGUGAACCCGUUUGUUCUGAUUUGCUUUCCAUUGAUUCUUGCAUUUUUUCCUUGCCUUGGUUCCUUUUCUUUUUCUUGGUUUGCAAGUUUUAACAUCUGUUAUUUUACUGAUAGAUUCUAGUUUCCUACUUGAAUUAUGAGGUUUUACCCUGCUUUGUCUUCUUUCCAAUUCGUGUAGUAUACGUGAUUUGAGUUCCAAUUGCUGUUCAUACUAUGCCUCAGUCCCAUUGUUUAAUGUCCUAAGGAUUCAUUCCGAGUGAGGUUUUGAACUUCUAAGAGCUCUUUCUUUAGGAUUCCGUGUUGGGUUUCUCUUGGAGGGGUUUAAGUCUAUUUAUUCAUGGCUUUGCCUCUCUUAUUGUGGCCAUUUUCUGUUAUAUUUACGAUCUUAUUGGAUAUUCGUGUGACCUUUGCCUCCAGCAGAUGAAGAUAAUAGAUGAGCAUUUUAAUCGAGUUGUGAUCUCUUACUAAGAAUUGUUAAUAUUUUUUGUCUUGGUGAUUUUUAUCCAUGGGAAACACAAGACGCAUGGUCAUAUGCGUGGGUCCACGCGUAGUGCAGAUAAGUUGUGAAUUAGAAGAGAAGGUUGAAAAAUCACACAUGGGUGUUGAGCUACGUUCUAAUUCAGAGACUGAAACUAAGCAGCCUCAAGAAUAGACUACAAAUGUGAAUGCAUCAGGUAAGACCUACCUACAUAUAUUUUGUGUAAUUUUUCAUCAUACUAUACUAAAAUGGUCAGUGUAUUGAUCUCGUUUCAUAAUAUUAGAUAUGUCUUUCAAUAUUUAGAAUUUCUUGUCUAGUAGUUGCCACUAGAAAAAGGAAGCGCACCUUUAUGUGUCUAUCGGGCAUAUGGAAUCUUCCUCCUGGGAAACACGUUAUUGUCAAGUUAGGGAAGAAAAUGCAGCCCAUUGGAGGUUUGGGGAGUUUCUCAGAACCAUUGGUAGCGAAUUGGCACCAUUGUUUACAACUUGAAACGAAUUACCAUGGAUAUGAGAAACAUUAUGAUUAAGAUUGUAGAGAUCGUUAGGUUGUACUCAUAUGAAAUCCCAUUCAUGUUGUAAAUAAAUUUAACACGAUUAUUAAUAUUUCUUUGUUGUAGUCUACGCUUGAUUAUCUUCAUACCAGCUAUGGAAAAAUGGAUUCUACAUUCCUUGAAUUCUAAAUGGAGAUAUUGGAAAAGUGAUCUAAAAGCUGCUCGCUAUUAUAGCUCUCAAUCUUUAUCGUAUCAUUUGAAGAAUCUUUUGGAGAGAUUGAGAAGAGAUAGAUGGAAAAAUCUCGUCACUUUUUGAAGUUCAAAGGAAGGGAAGGUAUGAAUCUCGUUCCAGCAUUGUUUUAAUAUGACCGGUCAACAUUAAGUAGACUUUCAUCGCCCAUUAUUGACCAUUUUGUGAUGAACUUAUUAUUAUUAUUAUUUUUUUUUAUCGCAGAAGCUGAGCGAUGCAAAUAAGGCUGAUAGAGCAAAACAAAAGAUACAACACACCUUAGGGAAUAAAAGUUUGUCUAGAAUAACUGCAGCAAAGGUACUCUCAUGUUUUCCGUUAAAUUUUUGUGUUUCCCUAUAAGUGAUAUUUCCAUUUUGUAAUCAAUAACUUUUCUUUAAAAAUAUUCUGCUGUGGUGAUAUAUCAUUGGACCUAAGGUAAAGAUGUCCCGAGAUUUGUGACUUUUCCAACAAUAUGCGUUUUAAUAGUAGUUGUCGUAGGAAGAAAACAUAGGAUUUGUUCUAGAUUGCCUCCUUAAGAUUGUCCACGUUCUUAGCACCUGCAUUGAUAUCUUGUUAUUAUUCCCUUAGCUUUGUGAUUUGGAUUUGCUGGUGACAGCACAAUCAUCCACAACUUGCUUCAGGUUUAUCUAGAACGCAUAGUCCGCCAUCGUUAACAAAAGAGCUAUGCAGUAGCCAGAGCUGUAAAUUAACUUAUAGAUUAUGAAACCUAUACAAGUUUCUAUUAAUUUGCUAACAUGACUGCACUUUGUAUAUGAGAGUGAACGAAAAAACAGAAAACUACUGCAGCCCUAGAAUACCCAAUUACUAGCUGUGCCAUGUCACAUGUAUGCACACGUCCCCACAAUUGUUGAAAAGCCAUUCAAUAUAGUUCAUCUAGUGUUAACAAAUGUUAUGCAGUCUUGGCAAUGACAAUAUUGCUGCUGCAAUUUAUUAGGAAUUUAUACAGUUAUCUGAGCAGAAGAUGAAUGGACCAAGAAAAGAGGGUAGGCUGGAAUAAAUAGUAUAAAAUUAAAACCAAAAGUCUAACUUCCUAGUGUGUGUUUUCAUAUGGUUUUGGUAGAUGACAAGCCAUAUAACAAUCCGCAAGAAACACCUAUAAAAAUAAAGAAUGAGAUUACUUUUCAAUUUGAUAUCUCUGGACAUCUUUUCUUGUUUUACAGGAAAGUCAGUUAUGCUGACUAACCAAGUUCUGGCACAUGAUAGGAAGCAGAGUUAAGAAUUCAGCUUAAAAUUACUCGACAAUAAAUAGUAACAUCAUUAUUUUAUUUUAUGUUACCGAAUUGCAAGGAAGCAUGAAUGAUCUCAUAGAUCUAUAUUUGGAACUUGGAAAGAGCAAUCCCCCCAUGAAAUACUGUUUUUCUAGUGUUGGGAAAAAAGAAACCUGGUGUAUCUGAUGCUAGGGCAUAGUCCAUGCCUGAAUGAUUUGGGGCCUCAAAAUCUAGUUGUCUUCCAACCGAGAACUUAAGGUCAAAGAAAAAGAAGGAUGAAGAGAUUCACAUUUUGAAGAAAUAUAGUUGUCUUCCAUCCGAGAAAUGAAGGUCAGACAAUGAGAAAGAUGAAGAGAUUCACAAGUUGAAGGGAAUACUGAAAGCAACAAAAGAGCAAUUACAAAAGACAAAAUGGAGACGUGCAAGAGUUACGGGCUCAAAAAGAUGUCUACUAUUAUACAAAAUUGUUAGCAUGCGGCAGACUCAAAGUGGUAUCACGAGAUCUAGAUGAGGUAGUAUGUCAUGAGCCAUGAGGUGUGACUAAUUUCAUUGAAUGUUAAAAUAGUGAAAGGUGUUUUAUUUACUAAAUACUGAGUGACCUAGAUAUUGGACACUAAGGGGGUUUUAAAGGGAAUAUAGGUGGGAUAGACUUGAAACAUGAGUAUGGUAUCGGGAUCGCUUCAAUGGAGCUUGGAAGUGGAAUACAAAUUUAGCAUAUUGUUACUAUGUUUUUUUUUUUUUUUUUUUUUUUUUUUUUUUUUUUUUUUGCUGUGACUAAAUCAUGUUUUGGGUUUACUUCUCUUGCAUCAUGCCUUGUCCUUUUUGCUAAUUUUGAAGUACACAAGUGAUUGCCCUUAUCAGUCACUGCUGGGUGUUGCUCCUUUUUUUUUUUAAGGUCACUUCUGAGCUCUUUUGUCCUUCUCUGUAUAGAUCCUGGGGUGUUAUAGCAUCUUUUAUAUUGAAGAGAAGUUGAAAUGUUGCCUGUUUUGGCACUUGAGAGUGGUUGAGGGACACGGUCAAAUGCUUGGAAAUGGUCUAUGUUGAUGAAUGGGUUUAUCAGAUGACCUAAUACCAUAUGUUGAUGAACCUUACGCUACUCUAUUUUUGGCCCUCAAUGCAUUUCUUCUUCUUCUUGCUCUUAAAGGUUAGGCUUCUAUUUUCAUAAUCAAACUUCUCGAGUUUGCUGGGUUACAGCAAUGAUUGUGAUUUGUGAACUGGUUUACAGCCAUUCAAUAUUGGUUGUAGUGUUUAUAAGAUGCUUUGGCCACUCACAACUAUGUUUUUUGCAAUGAAGUGAAUGGAGCUCCUUUGUUCACGUCUCUGCAUUUUUUUCAAGUGACAGGAAAUGUGGCUUAUCAUGUCUUGCUCAUUCUGUUUUAACAAAUAAGCUUCUCUACGUUUUGAUAUGCUUUACAGAUUAGUUAUGAGCUCCUACGUUCAUUUAUUUUAUUACUUUCUGUGAUCUAAGCUUCCUCUACAUCCUUCUCCAAUCCAAAUUAUUGAAGGUUUAAUUGUGCGAUGUUCAACUAGCGAUCACUCUCAUGAUAGCUUGUGCUGAUUUCACACCCAUUAUGCUUAAUCCUCUUUCCUGCACUCAUUUGCUUUGCUGGAUGAUGACCAUCAUAACCCACAAUAGAGAUCUCCAAAAAUCAGUUUAUGCUCUCCAUUGUCGAGUCAUGAGCCACACUCUAAAAGAUGGGGUUGGUGUUACCUCCAAAGGUACAGUGAUCAUUGUAGAGCCCGCAUUCUAUUUAUUUUUUGUUAUAAAUGUCUUAGGUCUAGUAAAAAAAGAACAAAACAGCUUCUUGUGCCCGUUGUUGAAGAAAGCUCAUUAAAGAACUAGUAUAGUUCCCGCAUCUUCAAGAUAUGAUGAGGCUAGAAAAGAUUUUAUAGCGAUGAUAGGACCUCUUUCAUGUGCAGUCGAACAUUAUGUCCGAGCUAUAGCUGAAAUUGCUUUAGAAUGCGAAAAAGGAAAACACAGCAACAUAGUGUUUUUGUUGCAGUGAUUCUCUCUUGGACAUAGGGUGUCUAUCUCUCCCUCUCUGAACCUACCUUGUUUAAUUAUUCCUUUCUUGCAUUGGAAUAGUACAAAGAGCAAUCUAGAGAGUCCAAUAACUUAUGGAUGUCGGUGAAAAAUUGACCAUUGUCCUUCAGUACAUCUAGACAAUUUUUGGAUUGCGCCAAAAAGGCGAAAGCCCAUGCUUGAGAAGUUUUCGCCUUUUUGUUGUGAUUUGUGUAACGUGAUCAAAUGGAUGAUUCAGGGGUUUCAUGGCUGUUGCGUGACGGCUAAGCAAGUUGAGCGUCAUAACUCCUGAGCACGUCAAUUUGUUGUUUUUUGAAUCUUAUGACUUUGAUAAGUUAAUAGAUUUAGCUUUGAGAAGAUUUUGGAAUAAAGUACUCAACGGAGACGAGGAUUUCGCAUUAUUCAUCCGUUGAUGUUUCUUGGGUGGAUAUGUGAUGCGUUGUCCUGAAGGAUGUUGAGGACAUGAGGCGAUUCUCUUGUUCCGUUUCCGAUUAUUAGCAAAGCCAACAUCUUGGGAAUCAUCUAUAGCAUAAGAGCUAAAAACAAAGAUAAAAGUAAAUAGGCGUGCGCUAUGCAAACGCAACAGACCUGAAAGAGUUUGUCAUAUACAUUUAUUAGUCAACCUUUAUAAUGCAAUAUUUGCUUGUGGUUAUCUAACUAAUUUCGAUGACAUGUUACAGGUGUCAAAUGUUGUAGGUGUCAAAUUUUGUAAUACUACAUUCAUGUGGCUUGCAUGUUGUGUUAAUAAUUUAAAGGAUGUUAGAAAAAUGAAAGCAUGAUAUUACUUUUUUUUAAUUUUUUUAUGAGAACUAGAGAUGGAGUUCAAGUUUCACAUUGUGGUUUAGUUUCUUAGUUAUCAAUAAUUGAGUAGAAUCAACUUUAAUCUUGGACGCAUAUGCUAUAUAGAGUUGAGCUUGAGCAUGGGAUUGAGAAACAAAGUUUUGGCAUACUAACAGUACAAUAUCAAACCAUCAAUUUGAACUUAAACUUUGUAUCAACAAACUACUUCAAAUGAAUUUAUAGCUUGACUGCAAUUUUAUAGCUUUUUUUCCCCAAAUGAAGUACGUUUUCUUAGACACUUUUAGUUCAUUGACCAACUAAAUAAUAUGCUACGACAUUCCUUGCAUGCCGACAAGAAUGAUGCUAGUGGUCUUCAAAACUUCACCAAGCCUCUCCAACGUAUACAAGUCCCGUGAGAGCUUGAUUCCUGAAAAAUAUAAUCACCAUCAAUCUUUCGAGAAAAUUUCAAAAUAAAAUUAAGAUAAUCAAACUAUGUAGUCAAAUCAACCAAAAAUACAUGUGAACUUAUUUUUACUGUGUUUAAUAUAUUUGUCAAUGUAUACUAUUUAUAACAAAUAUAUAGAAGAUGUUAACUGCAUUCAUUGAGACUGAAAUACUCGAAAGGAUGCUGAUGAAAGUAAAAAAUAAUUGCAUUCAUUGAGAUUGAAAUAUUAGAAAUGAUCUAUAUAUAAUAGAAAAUGAUAUCAUGUGAAAAGAUACAUAAAUCUGGUGAGAUUCGUAUUGCGAUUAAAGGAAUGGGAUUAUAUGUGCAGAUUUAAUAUAUCACAUAAGUUUAUUUCUUGCACCACCAAAUGCAAACAAUUUAAUACUAAGCCAUUCACCCAAUCUUUGGCUUGUACCCUACUUGGUCCAUGAGAUUAGUAAGGUAUGAUAUGGGCUUGACAUCUUAUCUGCACAAGAUAAGUUUCUUGGAAGGAGAAACAAUAUCUUAUUACCAGAAAAUGGCCAGUUUAUUUAUAAAUCAAGUAGAUAAAGCCCCCUCCUCCUUUCCCCCCUUUCUAUCUAGUGCACUUAUGGAAGUAGGUCAAUGAAAUUUCAUUUAUGUGAAUUAACAUACGCAUAAAUACACUUUUUUUGUUUUUUUUAACGACUUUUAUGAAAACUGGUUUUGUUCUCAAUCUAGCUAAAUUAAGAAAUUUUUAUGUUCACAAUCGACUAAAUUAUAGUAGAAGAUAAAACUAAGACUCAACCUAGGCAUCAAAAGUUUAAUGAGUAGCAGAAAUAGACACUGUACCUGACAUGAAUCCUUCAUGACUAAAAGAAUGAAUUCCUAGAAGAUCGACUUCUUUAACUCCUAUUUGAAGUGGCUUUUAAUCGAAUGUAAAAAAUGGGGAAGGACACAGAAAUACAUCAUCCACCAAUUAAUAAAGUAUUUUAGGUCUAAAGUUUGAGAGUGAAAGGAGAUGUGACAAGUUUUUCCGACCUGCCUAUAUCUCCUUUCCUUCUUCGUUCAUUCUACUGGUAAGCGGCUGCUAUUCUUCGGUCACUCCUGGUGAGCAUCCGGUGCUGUGGGUAUCCUUCCAUUGGCUUCAUGAUCUCUAAUUGCAAUCAUCAUCAUCGUGUUAUCCACUGUUUUUUUAGCUCCAGUUCUGAUUUGCUUCAUAUAUCAUGAGACUAAACUAACGACACAAAAAAGAAAACCUGUCUUUCAUGGGCAGUUACAUAUCUCGCUCUGCAGCUCCUUGGCGAGGUUUGCAUGUCUGUGUUCCUCUUAUGUUCUUGUCUUUUGGUAGUCACUGAUGUAGCAUUUGGCGAGCUCUUCUAAUAGAUUCUCUCUCUUUCACGCGUGCAUAAUGCGGCCCACUAAGGAAUAGAAGUCCAAGAAUGUAAACAGAAUAAGAAACAUAAUUCAAAUUGUUCGCAGGAUGUGAAGGUUCUGGGAUGAAUAUUCUCUUCGUAGCAUUAUAAUAUUCCAAAAAGGGAGUUAAACCUCACCUUCGCAUGACUUGGGUUGUAACGUGGCCAAAACCUUGCACUUAAAUGUCACCAAUUUCUUCGAUGCUCUUGUGAUCAGGCUAUACAUGGUAAUGUCUGUGAAUUCAUUAUUCUUCUUGCAACAACAAAGUCCACUUCUUUUUAUACAGAUGCUGUUCUUUUUGCUUUGCAUUGUCUAUGUUAUAGUGAAGAAGCUCCUAGCAGAAUCCUGAUAUAACCGCGAUAGUCAACAGAUGUUUCUUCUGUUGCAUUCAUCCGUUGCUUGUGUUGCAUUUAGUAGAGCCUUCAGUUGCCAAAUCAAAGAAUGUUGGCCAGAAGAUUGAGGGCGUUGAUGUCUAAAUCAAGUGGUGUAACUCCUAAUGAGAUUGACUCAGAGCUUAAUUGCUAUUGUGUUCUUUGAUCACCAAUUCUCAUCACAAAAACAAAGUAGGAAUUGGUUUUAUGGUUGUAAUAAGUUGUGGAUUGAUCUGAAUACACCAGAUUGAGCUAAGGACAUGAUAAUCAACAUCCUUGAAAUGAACCAAGCAUUGUGCAAAUCCAGCCAAUCAAGGCACGAGGAGGUUAAUGUGAGCUAACUUCAACUGAAAUCAAGGCUCAAAGGGCCAAGUAUAGACAUUAAAAGGAGCAAUUGCAUGAGUAAAGAAAAAAAAUGAUAAUAUCAAUGGUCAUUUGUUCUAUUAAGGUGUUGUGUCAUUGUGCUGGUUGUGUCUAACACGAGAGUUGGUGGGAAGUUUCUAAGCCUUCCAUAGUUUAUUUAGGUGUGAGUGUGUGCAUCUGUGUCAGGUUGAACUACUGGAAGUCCUGCUUCCCUCGUCUUCAGUACGCUUGUUCCGGCUUCAUGCUUCGGACUUGCUUUACCACUGAAAACUAGAUAUUCUCAUGGAAAGCUGUUGGCUCUUUGGCAAUAUGACAGAAGCUUUCGUCGUUCUUACCAUUCUUACUAAAGAACUUCUAAUACCUUUUCAUUCUGUUACGAAAAAUCUAGUGAACUUAACAGCUUUGGCCUCUUGUAUAGUCUAAUAUAUCACCAGAUGUAAUGGCACAUGCUAAUCUUGAUUCUAGAAGAGGCGCCUGUGAAGCGAGACAAUGAAAUGCCAACCCCCUCGAGCGGAAAACAUUCCAACAUAAACAGUGAUUUAAAAUUUGACCCUGAAUGGUCAGGGCAGGACGAAUGAAAUGAAGUCUCAUUGUUUUCUUUUUCUUAACCCAACGGUUUAUCAGAGGUCUAAAUACUUGUGUACUUCCACACUAAAGACACUUAAAUACGUGAUUUUCAACAAUACUUCCACAUCUCUGCAUAUUUGCAGACCUGUAGGGAAUACUCGUUCUCGUGCUGAAUAUGUUAGUUUUUUUUCUCUUAUUGAAAUCAUCGAACAGGUGCAUAUGUACAGCUUGGGACUCCACUUUGCUUUUGUUAGGUCCCUUCGCUCGGAUUCGUGGUCAUCGGUUUCACAGCACUUUUGGGCGUGUCAGACACAGGCCCUCAUCCACAUUAGAAAGCAAUUUCCAUAAUGCUAUGCCAUUUUGUAGGAUUAACUCCAUGUAUCGAGUCACAUAGGCAAGCCACCUUUAGGCUUUUUAGGUAGGUCCACGAUAUAUUUUGCCAGCCUCGUCGAUCAGAAUGCCGAAAUCUUGGGUGAUUGAUUUGGAUAUAAAAGCAUUCCUACUUGAAUGUCAAGUCUUCUAGAAGUCCAUGAUAUGUAGAGCAUCCCAUGAAUCAAAUAAGAUGCAAAUUCAAAAUCUCAAAAAUUCGUUCAACUAUAAAUUUUUUCACACAGGAUGAUACAAAUGACUGAAUAACCAAAAACGACAUGACUUUCAAGCUCAGCAGCCUCAAAGCAUUCUAAUUAUAAAUUAGACAUACAGAAACCACUAAAAAUUUGAGAGUAACCCUUUUUCUCAGAAUCAAUUUCUCUCAACACAGACACGAAUUCCGUCCAAUAGAAAAAAGCCACACCAGCUGCCAAUGCAAUAACCAAAAGCAAAUCAUAAUGAAAGAACUAGAUGUACCUGGACACGAGUAGUGGCGUCCUGACCAGACACGAUGCCGUGCCUCAUCUGCUUCACCAUUGCCUGUCUCUUGUUCCUCAGCAGAUUUAUACUCACCACUGUCAUCUUCGCUGCCGUUUUGCUGUUCAUUCCCAAAACAAAAUAACAAAAAACUCUCCAUGAAUAUAACUACAAAAAGCCCUCACCUAUUAUUUGCUAUUUACCAGAACAUAGAAAAGUAAACGCCCCCAAAGUAAACCAAUUUCAUGUGGGGAUUUUAUGUUGCAUACCUUGUGAAUAGUGGCCAAGCGUUUGGUCUCUUCCUUGAUCUGACCCAGGUGAGAGAGGAUGCAGUCGCAGAUCUCCAUCUUCUUCCUCUUGAUCCCCUCCUCCUUGGCCCUGAAAGUGGACGGAGCAGCCCUCGACAUCUCCUUGUCCUCCCUCAACAGCGACGUGUUGCUGCUGAAGCUCAAGUUCCCCGACGAGCCCUGCAGGAUCAGCAGCAGCUGUUGCUGCCGCUGCCGCUGGGCCUGUUGCAAGGCCUGCUGCUCGUGCACCUGCAUCAAGAUCUUCUUCUUCUUCUCUCUGAUCUUCAAGCAACAGAAACCCCUGUGACCUCUGAUAAACCAAGUGUAUAAACUUCAGUACCGUCCCCACUGAUAAACCAAGAAUAUUCCACCAUCUUUGCUGUCUAAUACUAAUAAACCAAGUAUUUGAACUUCAGGACAGUCUGCACCAAAUGCAACCAAACCAAGUGUUCAAACUUCAGGCAUAUGGCUAGCCUACCGAUGGAAAUUUACCUCAAAUGGAGCCAGGAGUUCCUCCAUCUUCCCUGGUACGCACAUUUGUUCUUGUGCGCUGCUCUCUGCAUGCGAAACCAAUGAUGGGUGCCAAAACAUCGACGGGUCUGUUAAUGCAGCCGGCACACUCUCUUCCUCCUGCAAAAACAGGGGACAUUAACAAACCCAGGGCAUUGUAUUUCGCCAUUUUUGUGGCCUCACCAGAGGAGGGAUGCCUAAUUACCACAUGUUGGUCCUACUCAAAUUCGAUUUGACAAAGAAAUGAGUACACCAAUUUUAAGAUUCACAAACAAACGUAUUUUAUCCAGGUUUUUGUUUAAUUGCCUGAAGGGCUCCAAGCAACAAAUUUGGCAACAUGAAAGAAGAAAAAAGAAUACCGUCUUCCCUAAGUCGCCAUCUAAUGUUGAUUACUGUAACACUGCAAACAUGCUUUUUAACCCAUAGCAUGAAUGGUGCUGUGCCAGUAAAAGCUUCAGCACCUCAGAUCAGACUGUCCUUGAAAAUUGGCACUCCAAAAAUAGAUAGCACCUUGGAUCAUCAAAUCAUGUAGACCAGUUCAAGCUCUAAAUUGAAAAUAUCCCAAAUACAAUAUUAAAGAAAUCGCACAUUCAUUGGAUAUUCUGGAGAUUCUAAGUGAACAAAUAGCACUUGUAAGUAAAGAUGACACCUUUAUUUUGACUCCACAGGCCAAAAGAUGGAUUCAUAAUAAUUUGGAAUUGAGUUUACAGGAAAUUUCCAUGGGCGUUAUGCAUGAUAUUCAAGCCAAAUCCCCAAUCCUUUUAGCAUGUUUCCGAAGCAGAGAACCGCGAAAUUGAGCAUUAAAUAUAGUUGCUCCCACCUUAAUCAACCGAAACAAAAGCAUGCGAACAAUCUGUGUCCUUUUUCUGUUUUGCUUUGGACGAUCCUAUCUCUUAUUUUGCUAAGAUUAGUAAGAUCGCAACAACAUCCUGCGUUUGGGCAUAUACCCAUUGACAUCAUUCCCAAACUUCAGACCUAUUCAAUCCACAAGAGAAAACAACUCAAAUGAGUUCCCAUACCUCCUUCGGAAUGAAAGCAGAGUACAAGAAAGGAGAUUAAGCCGCCCGGCUUUGGACGAAGAGGACCCGACGUCGCCGUCGGCCUCAUCGAGCUCUUGCGCAAGGACUCGAUGUCGUCGCGCUCGAACGAAGAUGAAAUUUGGGGAUUCGGCGAAGAAGAAAAAGGACACUCAGAUGAAGAAGAGGAGGAUCGAUGAAUGAGAAGCGGACUCCAUGAACAAGAAGUACACUAUGGACGAGAAAGACUGAUGAAGAUGUGACGAGAACUUGAGAAGAAUACUCAAUCAUUGCGUUUGAAGGCUCGAAGCUCUAUGCCACGUAGGAGUGUGAAAAGAAUAAACAAAAAUUUUCAUUUAACUAAUUGAACAAAAUUAAUAAAAUGACUCGAUUAUACUAAAUUAACAAGUUUUAUUACUCGAUUGUAAUUUUUUGUAAGCUUUAGGACUUCUAAUAUAUUUAUCUCUUUAAUGUUCUAUCUACACUGUAAAUAUUGCAAAUCAUUAAAGUCAUUGUCAUAAUGAUUGGUAUUAAGGAAGAAAUGAAGAAAAAAAAAGUGCAGUAUAUUACGUAGAAAAAACGCUAAGUAAAACCAAUUGUUUCUUAUAAAAUGAGAGAAAAUUUUAAAUAAUAGGCUAUAAGCUAUUAUAUAUAUCCUAUAAAAUGAAGUUUUUCCGAAUAUUUGUGAUAAAAUCUGAACCUCUUACUGCAACUAUGUAACUUUCUCAUAUACAGAAAAAAGGAAAAGCUAGAAAAACGCAGAGAGAGAAAACAUCACAUGCGUUAACUGGUUUUUAAAGUAAGUGAGACCGAGACUUAUUGUAUGAUUGUUUCUUUUUUUAUUUUCCACAAUUAUUAUAAAUCUCCUUAUAGUUGAAUUUAUGUUUGUGGAUGGUCUUGCUGACUUACCUUAUAUUGCUUGAAAUUUUGGACAGAGCCUUCGAAUCCUUGCUUAAGCCCAAGUAAUUUCGGGCAACCGGCAAUACUUAAGUAGCAAUCAUUUGGCAAUUCAGUGGUCGAUACAUUUUCCAACAAUGGGCAGUCAUUAAGGUAUAAGAACUUGAAAAACUCCAACUUGUCGAGGCCCUCGACAAUUCGUAGGUUAGGGUUGUACUCUAUGCACAAGCGCUCAAGGUUCUUUAAUUCUGACAAACCACCAAGACUUUGUAAAUGAUUACCAUAAACUGUCAAGUCUUGCAACGAUUCUGACGUACCAACAACUUGAAUACCGAGUAUCUUAUCGCAAAACCCUAUGCACAGUCCCCACAACUUAUUGAAGACUCUUGAUGCAAGGACUAGUGAAGAUUCAUGGGAAGAUUUCCAAUGUCUGUCAACGUACACGAACCUUCUGAAGGACUCACAUUCACUGAUAUCCAAAUUGCGCAACGAUUCCAGCACCCCAGCGAUGUGGAUCUCAUCUAAUUUUGGGCAGCACGCCACGUUGACCUCUUCUAGCUUCGUCAUGCUAGAUAGCAUGAAUCUCUCGAGGGAUCCACAGCAAAAAAUUAGAAGCUCCAUUAAAUUUGGAAGCUAAAGCCCAUCGAGUAUUAUCUCUUGUAUUUGAGAGCGAUAGAGCCUUAAAUUUGACAAAUUCUCUAAGUGGGAGGAGAGAAACGUGGUUGAAUUAAUAUUAUCAAGGGUUAGCUUUAAUAGAGAAGAGGGAAGUUGCUUGAGGGGUUGCAAGUUCAAUCCACACAAACGGAGUUUGUCAAGCCGAGUAAGAGAAGCCAACUCAGUGGGAGCAGGGGCAUGGAGGAGACACAAGCUUAAUUUUUUUAGUUUGGAUAACCCCCUGAUCCACUCUAAAUCACCAGUAUAAGUUUUAUCUUGUUCGUCAAUUUUGGAGCCGUCACUUAGUUUCAACCUAACUAAAUUAGUCAAGUUUGAAAGGUCCGGCAACUCUCGAAUUUCAUCAAACCCUUCUAACUCUAGUAUUUGAAGCCGCAGAAGCAAGCCAAUUUCAGAAGGGAGUUGACUUUUCAAAUUUCCUUCAACUUGAAGCGCUUUCAGAUUCUCAAACUUUCCAAACUCCAUUGGAAGUGCAAUUGAAAGCUGCAACUCCCGUAAUGAUUUCCACUUAAAUAUGAAAUCCGGUAAUUCCUUCAUUGGACGACAAGAUUGUAAAGAGAAGUGCUCUAGAUUCCGUAGGUCCCCAAUUUUUUCAGGCAAACCUUCAAGGCGAUUGCAAAGAUCAAACUUUAAAUCUUUUAGAUACUUUAACUUCCCAAUAGAGCCAUCAAUCUUCGUUAAGCCGUCGCAAGCCAAAAAAGUCAGCCUCUCUAAUUUUGAGCAUUCAGAUAGGUCUGGUGUUCUGGUUAUGCCAUGACAAUUACCAAGACUAAGAACUUUCAAUUUUAUUGCCCCCUGUAAAAAGUGAAUGCAUUAUCUAAUGGAAGAGCAGUUCAAACGUUCAUUUAAGGACAAAGAAAGGAAAUAAGCAUAUGACGCACCUCUAUUAACUGCAAUAAUUUCUGAUCGUCUAUACUGGGAAUGCUUGAAAAUUCAAGGACAACCACAUUCUUUAAGCACAUAUUGGUCAGCUCCCACUGUAAAGAUGAAGAAUGACACAAAUAAAUCCAUUUUAGUUUGGGAAAACAAUUUAUUAGAUUAAGGAACCUUAGUUCUUUAAACCUUCCAAUCUCUUCACUUUUGAUACUUGUGUGAGUUACUUCCAUCGCUUGAACUUUCUUCAUCUGCAAAUGAGAACAAGAAAGGAGUAGCAUUCAGCAUUCCAUUUUAUUGAGGAAAAGUAUUAAAACCAAGAAGCAAAAAGAGAAUCUAUAAGUUCUCUCGUUAAGUAUCCCACCUCUUUUGUCGCCAUUGUAGUGAGGACUUCAUCAUCAAUCCAUAACCUACUAGGCCCUUCAGGAUUCGUUCGAUAUUCUUGACGAACAAUUUCCCUUCCAAGAUCUCGAAGUUGAUCGUGCAUCAAAAACUCAUUGUCAUUUCCAAUCUUUAUCAAGGACUUGUUUUUGAGGAUCUCAAUUCCACAGAUUGAGGAAAAACCACAAUCUGUCCACAUAUAAAUUGGGUUUGUCAUUAUAUCACCAAUGAAAAAGCAUGCAAUAUCCAGAAAAAUUUGUUGCUGCCCAGGAGUCAAUGCAUUAUAGCUAAUCCUCAACUUUUCGAAAACACCCUCUGGAGGUGCUUUGCGUAAAUCGUCCAAUGUUUCUUUCCAUAGGUCUUGUGUUCCAUGGGUCACAAGUGAACCAAUUACUGCAAUAGUCAAAGGAAGGCUUCCAGUAGCCGAUACAAUUUCCUUUGAAAUAUCAUCGCGAUCAUCUGGAGGAGAGUCCUUGUUAAAUGCAUGUCUGCUGAAGAGCUGAAGCGCAUGAUCACUACUCAUCACCUUCAUUUCAUAAGGUAAUAUACUGCACUUCAGUUGAGAGCCUUGCAAAACAUUCUUGUUUCUAGUAGUAAUCAGUACUCUAGACCCUGAACAAAAAUCACCUUUUCCAACUAAUUUCUCCCCUUGUUCAUCGUUAUCAACAUCAUCCAGCACAAUGAGGACCUUCUUAUUGUGAAGUCUUCCUUUGAUCAUCUCCAUUAGACGUUCAGUUUCGUCAAUACUUCCUAUUCCUGCGGCAUUUCCUAUUUCAGACAAUAAUUUCUUUUGCAAUUUAACCAAACCAUCAGCUCUUGACGAAUUUUCUCGAACAUUUUCAAGGAAGCAGCAACACUUUCCAAAGUGGGUCAAAAGUUCAUUGAACACGACCUUGGCGAGAGUCGUUUUACCGAUACCCCCCAUGCCAUGAAUUUGAAUGAGCCGCACACCUCCAGAGUGUAUGUCUAACAGAUUUAUUACUUCUAUCACUCGAUCAUUGAUUCCAAUUAAAUGUUCAGUCACGGACUUUUGCUUUAUCUUCAACUUAACCACAACCUCCUCAACGACCAACUUGAUUAGUUUGGCCCAGCUGUCAUGAAGGAAAACCAUUUCAAUAGCAGAAAAUUGCGAAAAAAAAGAAAAAGAAAAGAAAAACAAUCUAGUAAUUAAAUUUCAUUCAUAAUACAAUUCCACUGGAGUUCAAAAGAAUCUUAAAUUUUUCAUUUGUUUCCUACCAGUUGAUGUUACUCAAUUGCAUCUACUUAACUGCACAAUAAUUCCAUAACUAAUGGGACAUCAACAAUCAAGAUGUGCCUUCUCAAAUUUCGUAUUGAAUGUAAGGUUUCUUAGCUAUCGCUUUCGAUAACCUAACAUUUGUCAUUUGAUAUGUUGCGCAAACCUUACGUGUACUUGAUCUUGUAAAGUUCCCAAAUAACACCAAGCAUGCAUAACACAAACAUUUGACGAGAUAGAUGGAAUCGAUCCCGAAGGACUUCGGAUUUGAUUUUUCUAGCUAAUACUAUAACCAUAAAAAAUAUGAAUCUACAUCACUUUCAAACGUGCUUCUCAUGCACAUUGCUAGGUGCCACGUGUCGCAUUGUCUCUUGACACCUGAAAAAUGACUUGAUCCCAACGUGAUUAGCAAUUUUCGAAUUCUGUUAAUCUUGUUUGUGCAAGAUAAAUGUACAACUAUUUAUGCAUCAUGAAUUAGCAUCUUAUCAGUUAUAUUCAUAGGACAACCUUAGAAGUGGGAUAUUAUAUGUUCAGGAGGAGAAAUAUCUGAUGUAUCGAUUGAAAGAUCAAAUUAUUAGACAGAACAUGCAUGAUACUCAAUUAUUCCACUUCAUCACCCAUUAUAUAAAAUGCCUUUAUUCCAGCAGUUCCACAUUUUUUUUACACACAUACCGUUUAGUAUCACUAGGGGAAGUUCCACCUGAUUUGUGGUGAUAUAUCUACGUUAUUAAGUUUUGAGUAAAAGUUCUAGAAGCAUUAGAAUUUCACCAAGAGUUGCUUACUAAAUGACAGAGGUGAAAAAUGAAACAAAAUUUAUAUAGACCAUCAACGAAAGGAAAAAAAUGAGCUUUCGUUUCUAUUUUCAGUUCUUCAUUAAAAAAAGACAUAUGAUAGCACUUCUAGUGAAAUCAAGAACACUAACAAUUUUAGUAGCUCUAGCAUGAAUUUUUAUGUUUCUUGAAUUCUCUCCUCCUACCCACAUAUAAUAUGUUCCUUCUAUCUGUGAAUUAUUUACUUAGUUUUUGCAAACAGGAAAAAAUAUUAGGGAAAAAGAAGGAUCUUGGAAUGCAGCAAGCUCACCUAUCACAUUUCUUGACUUCCCAUCCCUUUAUUGCAUCAACCUCCGUCAAAGCCUUCCUCCAGGAAUCUACUUCUUCAAUGCUCAAGUUAUCCUCGCCCUGCAAAAUGAGAAUGGCAUCGCAAUAUAACUGGGUUUUCAUCUUAACAUCUUUGGGUUCCACAUCGAAGAAAAUAGGUAGGAUCUCUUUAUUCCCGUUUGACUUGGAGGUGUUCUCCAUAAUCUGCGUGAGUUCACGGAGACACCAUUUGCUCGAAGCAUAAGUUGGAGAGAAGAUGGGGAUGUAGAUCCUAGAGUUGUCGAUCGCUCUCUGGAGCGCUCCGUUGAUUCUUUCACCAACAUGGAGGUUUUCACUGUCUCGAAAGACGUGGAUACCAGUAUCAGCCAAGCUGUGGUAGAGGAAGUCGGUAAAAUUAUUACGAGUGUCGGGUCCUCUGAAGUUCAAGAACACUUGAUGCUCGCAUUCUGAUGAUGCUUCUGCCUCUGAGCUCUCCAUGUUAACUUUAGCUUUAGUAGCUCUCUUCCCUCGUAUGUGAACAAGAGAAGCCUUUGCCCUUGGCUGACUGAAGGUUUCAACCACGAACAUAUGGCGUGAAUAUAUCAGAGUGAGAUUACCAACAUAUAAAUUCAGUUACAGAAUAACAACAAAACUAAAGUCAAGUAUUUAGAUAACCGUGUUAUAUUCAAACUCUCAAUGAUUCAUAUCAUUGUAAGUCAACGUUAGAAAUGCUAUAUAGCAUUGCUUUUGCCAACUACUUUUCUCCAACUCACGAAAUUCUAGGAANNNNNNNNNNNNNNNNNNNNNNNNNNNNNNNNNNNNNNNNNNNNNNNNNNNNNNNNNNNNNNNNNNNNNNNNNNNNNNNNNNNNNNNNNNNNNNNNNNNNUUUGAUAGGUGUGUUAUAUGCAUUUUCUAAGCAAGGAAUAUACCUUCUUCAAUCUUGCCAAUUUUAAAAACACCACUAUGCACCCAAAAAAAAAAAAAUCUUAAAAACACUAUUCAAAUAUUUUAAAAGAUUGUGAAACAUUAUACGUGAAUUUAGGAAACUGGAAAAGACCAACAAUCAACGAACUCGCUCCGCAAGACUUAAGAAAACCAAAAACUCAAAGAGUAAAAAUUAGAAGUCAAUUCAAACAUAUAUAAAAAAAAAAAAAAUUGUAUAACAAUUACUAUUAUGAAAUCAAAUACUAAGUCACGGGUUCUUCUAAAAAACUUAAAUUUUUGGAACGGUUUGAGAUUAGCCCGCGAUUUUUUCAUAAAUCCACUUGUCUAUUCUUGUUAAGAAGCUGAUCGGGGAGACUUUUUGUCCAAUUUCACAGGAAGGAACGCGACAAAAAUACAUAUGGGUAUUUCAGUCCCAAGGACCAGAUCCGGCCUCGAUUGUGGACAACGCACUCAUUUUGAGCAAGGAUUUCAUCAAACCGAACACUUCAGGGAAAAUUCAGAAUAAGUCGGCAAAGAAUCAUACCGUAUCAGUGGUCGCUGCCGGGAAACGGCUUGGUCGGAGGGCUCGGUUGCCGGAGUCGCUCGGAACGACCGGGGGACGUUGAUCCCUGGGUUUGCGAAGAAGGUCUCGGCCUCCUCUGCUCUGGACACGGAUAAACCAGCCCUCAAAGAAGUGUCUGUCGGUGCUGUUGCGUGGAAAGGAAGCUCGAAGACUUUUUCCUAGCGAUCUGAGCGUGACUUCAAGCUAAUAUAUACAGUGCAUAUCGGACUGGUCUAAGCCCAUGGGCCCUUCGGUGUUUAUUUUAGGAAUCCAAAGGAGUUUCAAUUUUGCUUGAACAUAUUUUAAGGUAAAGUCACCAAAAAUCCUAAAUUAUGCCUCUUCUCACACACAUUUUAAGAAUUACACAGCAAGGAAACCCUGAGAAGGACAAUAAUGCAAUCAAAAAGGAUAAAAAGGAAAAUAAUGCAAUCGAAAAGGGUGAAAAGAAACAGCAAGGAAACCUCACAUGUGCAUAUUUUAUGGAAGCAAAGCAAGGGUCGGCAAAAAGUGGAAGGGACGCAUGAAGUUUCUAAAACAUGCCAAGCCACUUUAUAGAAACUAGGUCGGAAGGUGCCUUUGCUUUUCCUAAGAUAAAUAAGUAUAAACAAAAACAAACCUGCCCUUUGGGUAAAGCACAUAAAAUUCUCUUGGAGGCUUGUCCCAUUUUUCAACUCUAACUAUUAGAAAGGGCAUCCGGAAAACACAAACAUAAUUCAAGAAGGUGGCUCAUAUUUGGCAUAUAUCUUUGUGCGUGCAUAUAAUUUAGGCAGUGGGAUUAUAUCAUGAAUCCUGAAAUUGGUUGAAUACUCUUAAAUAAUAAAUACUCAAUAUCAAUACAAAACAACAUACAACAUGUUUUGUAUAUAUCUCCAUGCGUGCAUAGAAUUUUGAUUCACGUUUAGCACUUUACAUUUUCUGGUACAAGUUGAUCUCUUUGAAAGGGGCUAAAAUGAUGACAUAUAUAUGUGCAAACAUUCUAGAAUCUUCAAAAGAGAGGAAGAAAGAAAAUAGUCAAAAACUAUAUCUUCAGGAGGAACAAGCUCAGCUCGUGAUUGCUCCCUUUAGUUGGUCUACAUCUGUGAUUGAAGGUAAAAUCUCUUAUUUUCCAUAAGCUUAUUGAAUCAACACAGUAUUCUAAAAAAUAAAGCUAUCUGAUUCAGUAUUUUAUAGGUCUGUGCUAAGUGCAAUGUUAAAGGAGGUUGAAGGACAAAAAUAAAGGAAGUGCAGGCUCUGCUGAUGUCAUGGCCAUUAAAAGUAGGGGUAGGGCCGCUGUUUCCGAACUCUCAAACGACUCUCAUGGACGGUCCCACUCUCCACAAAUUUCUUUUUUUCUCUAGUUUUUGUCUCCUUUUGUUUUAGUUUUUCUCUGAUUUUUUAAUAAUUUCUCUAGUCUUUCUUUGCCGCAUUAGCACCAAUGCAGAAAGAAAUUACAAAGCGCCAUGUCAAAUUUUGGAAUCCACGUAAGCAAAUCGGGUUAUGAGCUUGUCGAAAGAAUUAAAUUGCACUCAACAAAAAAUGUUUAGGACUUAAUUGCAUAAAUUCAAAAUUUAGGACUUGAUUGCAUAUUCGGCCAAACAUUGGGGACUUUUGGUGUAAUUUUCAUUUAUAAGAACUUAAAAUGAGAAUUGGCAUAGUGGAUAGCAGAUAUUCUUAUGAGAUAAGAACAAAUAAGUGUUACUUAAAUAAAAAUUCAUAGUUUGAUUCCCAUCCUACACUAAUCUCUCCCACUUAGAAAAGCUAUGCUAUUUACCGGUUUUCCAACGCAUCUCUUAUCUUGAUUUGGCUAUCUUUCCACAACUGUAGAAUAAACUGGUAGAUUAGCGGCAAAAAUAGCAUAUUGUGAGGAUAGAUUUUCACGCUAACAAGCGCAAGGAGAGCGAAAACGCGUGGAGUGGGGUCGCUGUGUUCCAGCCAUGCUUGUGUAAUGAACACAUGAAGUUUCAACUCUAUAUCAUUGAAUUGGUUGGAUGCAUAGAGAAUCAAAUAUUCAAUAACAAAAAAAAAAACACAAAACUUCUUUUUGUAUAUAUCUUCGUGCGUGCAAAUAAUUUGCUUCAUGUUUAGCUCUCUCCAUUUCAUUUUUUAGUAUAAGCUAAGCCAACAGAUCAUAAAAUAUUAAUGAAAUAUACAACUUACAGUUUAAUGUAGCUGAGCCUCACGAUAAAGGAAAUAAAAAUGUCUAAGUCAUACAAACUCAUCAUCUGUUUAAAAAUAGGACUUGCGUGUAAACCAAUUUGGUGGAAAAUUUCAAUGCUAUAUAAUCAAUUUUUUUGCCUCUCAUACCAAAUUAUUCGAGACAAUAAGGAGAAGAAGUGAAGCAGAAGCAGAAAGGGGAUGCCAAGAUCAACAUUUGACAAUAAAGAAGAGAAAGAAACAAUUCAUGAAAUUCAUUGAUGCUCUCAAAAAAAAAAAAAUUAGACACUCACAAUCAAACAACAAUAUAUAUAUCCAUGCGUGCAUAUAAUUUGGUUCAAAUUUAGCUCUAUCCAUUUUCCGGUAUAAGCUAAUCUAUUUGAAAGGAGAUAAAAUGCCGACUAUAUACAUGUAUAAAUAUUUUAGAUUUAGAGAGAGCGAGUAGUCAAAAAUUACAUCUUUAAGAGGAACAAGCCUAACUCGUGAUUCCUCCCUUCAAUCAGUUUACAUCCCCGAUCGGAGGUAAAAUAUUACAUUUUUCAUAAGCCCAUUGAAUCGACAUAACCUUCUGAAAUCAAGAUAUAUGAUUUAAUAUUUUAUAGGUUUGUGCCAACUAAAAUGAAUAAGAGGAAGAAGACAGAAAAAGAAGUAUUGACUCUUCUCAUGGACAUUAUAGUGGGGGCAAUUAUGCCGUCUCCGAACCCUCUAACAGCCCUCACGGAGGGUUCCACUCUCUAUGACUUUCAGUUUUAUCUAGUCUUUGUAUUUUUUUUUUUUAAAGUUUUUCUCCUAAUUUUUAAUUUUUAACAUUUUUGAAUUUUCCUGACGUGGGGCCAUAGUAGUGCCACAUCAAAGCCAUGUAUAUUAAAAGAAAUUACAAAAUGCCAAGUCGGAUUUUAGCAUCCAUGUUAGCAAAUUUGAUCAUGAGUUUGCCAGUAGGAUUAUAUUGCACUCUAUGAAAACUGUGUGGGAUUUGAUUGCAUAAAUUAAAUAUUUAGGACUUGAUUGCAUAUUCAAUCAAAUAUCUGAACUUUUGGUGUUUCACUUAUAAGAGCCUAAAAUGAUAAUUUAGUAUGAUAAGAAAAUUUCACUUAUAAGUACCAGCUAGUAAGAUAACAAUUCUAGUUUGUUUCACAUCUUAUAUCAAUCUCGCCCACUGAGAAGAACUUUACUAUUGACGAGUUUUCCAAUGCAUCUCUUUUCUUGAUUUGCCCUAUCCUACCCUAGCUUUAGAAUAAUAAACUUGUAGAUUAGCAGUUAAAAUAGCACAUUGGUUGCAAGGAUAAAUUUUCACACCGACGAGUGGUUGGCCCAAAAUCUAAAUGGUACAAUAUGCGUUCUUGGUUGUAGUGCUCCAUCUGUUAAGCGAGAUUGACACUUUUCUCGGUGAUUUUUGACUCACUAACGCUUGCAAAACUUCCGAACCAAAAAAAAAAAAAAAAAAACUCUUGCAAAACUUGAACACGCACCCAUUUCUUUAACUUUUGUUCAUCAUAAUCUCACUAAAAUCAUGUACAGANNNNNNNNNNNNNNNNNNNNNNNNNNNNNNNNNNNNNNNNNNNNNNNNNNNNNNNNNNNNNNNNNNNNNNNNNNNNNNNNNNNNNNNNNNNNNNNNNNNNNNNNNNNNNNNNNNNNNNNNNNNNNNNNNNNNNNNNNNNNNNNNNNNNNNNNNNNNNNNNNNNNNNNNNNNNNNNNNNNNNNNNNNNNNNNNNNNNNNNNNNNNNNNNNNNNNNNNNNNNNNNNNNNNNNNNNNNNNNNNNNNNNNNNNNNNNNNNNNNNNNNNNNNNNNNNNNNNNNNNNNNNNNNNNNNNNNNNNNNNNNNNNNNNNNNNNNNNNNNNNNNNNNNNNNNNNNNNNNNNNNNNNNNNNNNNNNNNNNNNNNNNNNNNNNNNNNNNNNNNNNNNNNNNNNNNNNNNNNNNNNNNNNNNUGCUUUUGGCUCUAAUAUUAAAUAAUGCAGGACGAAGAUUGUUCUAAUACCAAUUGAUGAAGAACAUAACUAGAAUGGAAGAGAAUAGAAUAUAGGAGAGAACAUAAAAAUCAAUUUAGUUUUAUAUUUAAUCAGUCUCUUGUUUUAAUUGUGAUCACAAAGCUAUCUUUUGGAGGAUAUUGGGUAUCAUAUAUGUCUCCCGUCCAUGAUUGUCCAUGUUUAAAUCUAUUAUGUUGAUAGACAAGUUUCCCUAAGCUCAAAUUAGUACAAGGCGAUUUAAAAUUGUGCAGGGUUAGCAAGCCGCCAUCAAGGCAGACACUACCACUAGCAUCAGCCGAAUGGGACUGCCUAUUAGUCCAUGCCAAAGUUUUAUCCCCCUCAAAACAAGAUCAAAUUGGAUCCAUUUGAGAGAUGGCACAGUUUUUACACAUACAAUUAAAACGCAAUAGUGAAGUUACGGUGGAAUCCCAACAGAGAAGUGAAUCAUCCAAAAAGACUUGAAAUGCAAGGGAUAAAAUAAUGCCAAUUUCUUUGGCUGUAAAAGUAAUAAUAGGCCACUUUAGUCAAGCCAUGUCCAAGUAAUGAACCCACGAAGCUUUCAUUCAACUCCUCGCGAAAGCCCCAUGUAAACGCACGGAAAGUGAAAUGGGUGGCUCGACUCCAUUAUAUGUUGGAAGAAGCAAAAAAAUUUCAAUUUUUGUCAAUUUAGUCCUAAACUUUCAUACGAAUUUCUCAUAUAGUCGUUUUGAUAAUUUUUUCCUAAUAAUUGCCCUACGUUGGCAUUUUCAAACGAGGUGCGCACUUCCUUUUUUCAUCAGGGACAAGUUUAACCUUGUCACUCAUUGACCUCCAUACACCUUGCUAUCAAAAGAGUUGGCGCCGAUCAAAAUAAAGUUUCUUAUAACAUUAAAAUCCUCCUUAUCCUAAACAUUGUCAAUUCCAACCUCUCAUCCACCUUUUGACUAAAUAGAAUGAGCUUGGAAUUUUAUAUGCUCUUUUACAUCAAAUUACCUUCAAGGGGUGAUUCUUGCCCUUGUAUGCCAUAAACGUUUUUCCUUUUCUUUUUCCGUUCCUCCAAAACAUGUGUCCCUUUAAACUAUAAGCAACUAAAUUGCCUUGAAAGGGGUGAUUCUUGUUCUUGUACACCCUAUACAUUUUUCCUUUAUUUUUCCACUCCUCUAGAACCACGUGUCCCUUUAAAAUAGAAUCAACUAAUUUUACUUGUCAAUUUCUAGAUACAUACAUCUAGUGGGAAAAUUGAUCUACAUCUAAAAUUGAUCUUUCAAAUUCAAAGAUCCAUCUAAAAUAGAGAAGCUUCAUCACAUACAACCUUCUCAUCAAAAGCGCCUAUCCCUCAUGAUCUUCAUCAUUGAGAUGAUUGUUUCAAAAGCCUUUGGUGUCAAAAUUGUUUCAAAAGCCUUUGGUGUCAAAAUACUUCUUUCAACGAUGCUUUGACAUCAAAUGACACAAUGUAAUCGAAGUAACACUAGAUCACACUAACUUGCCCAUAGGACAAGGUUGCAACACACUUGAAGAGGCACAAGUAUCAAUUUUAAUGUCACUAUGCAAAGAGUUUUUGUGAAUGAUGGUAUAACCGUAAUACUUGAACCUUAGAGAUGUUAUAACUUCAAAUAAGUAGAUUGCAAAAAGGCGAUGAAAUCUAAUAAGCAAUGUUGAUACCUGAAUUUUGUGGUCCGCUCAAGUAUCCAUUUUUUGCCUAAAAAAUAAAAAAAAAUAUUAAAUAAAAAUUACCCAAAAAAGAAAGGAUAUAAAAAAUCGAGCGGGUCUGUUUUGCCUAGCCCACUUAACAAAAUCUUCGGCCCUCUACGCCAAGGCGUCCAACCCAUUUCCCUUAAUCCCCUCGGCCCAUCUUUUACUUCUUUUUUAAAUCUAUUUCUUUCAUAGCCCAUCAGAACUAAAAAAGGCCAGCCCAAAUGUCUUACUUUUUGUUUUCUUCAAAGCCCAUUAGAAUUAAAAGAAAAAAGAAGAUAAAAGAGGCCCAGCCCAAUGUCACUUCUUCCCCUUGGUUUGCACGAACCAGCAUCCGUGAGGAGAGAGAGGAAAGAGUGACGCGCGGGUGAGGAGAAAAGAUCAGGAUCGCGCGAGCGUCCGUGAGCAAGGAAGCGUGAGAAGCCGUGACGUGACCAAGUCCGAACCUUCUAGAAUCCAUGAGCUGGCAAGGGCGUAACAGAAAGAUUCCUCAAGCGAGCGCAACGUGAGGGAGGAAGAGAAGGCUCGGCCGAGGCAUAUCGGAGGGCGAGAGGAGAGAGACGCAAAGUGGGGGAGUGACCGAGAACCCGAUCGCCGUAGCCCGCCGAUGGUUUCCGAAGCUCCGGUCAAGGGUCGGUUCGUCAGCCAGCCUUUACCCAUUCGGCGGUCUUUCUGCAGACGAGAAGGAGCCCAAUUAGUCGCUCCUCGCCGUCGCCGAUCGAGAUCUUGACUCACUGAAAAGACAGGUGGGGGGGCCUUCUUCCCGAAGCUCCUGUUUUAUCCCUGUUUUUUGGCCGGCAAUUUCUUGUCCGAGUCGAUGUAACUUUUUGAUCGAGAUCUUGACAAACCAAAGAAAGUUUAGGAUGAUUCAUGGUGUGUUGAAGGUUGAUGAAUCGGGGUUGGACUAACGAAUGUUGUAAAUCUAAGUCUGAAGCUCGUGUCCUUCAAUGCGUGCCAGGUGUUCGACGUAUUGCCUGAAUGAAAUAUGUAAUACUCAAGAGCACCGAACUCGAGAAAGAAAGUUUCAAGGGAACCGUGAUAAUCUAAGACUGGGUUGACAUAAAAUAUGAUGUUUCAGGCUUUUAUACAUCGUUUUUGACACGAAAAUUGCCUCGAAUAUCUCUCUGGAACACAUCCUUUAGAUUGCACAUCAGUCGCUCGACAAAUGCUUGAGAGAAGACCGAAACUCAUUCAUUGUUGAAUCUUAUGAUCGAUUUUCUUUUGCUUCUGUAUAACUUGAAUCUGGCCUAAUAUUAGUGCUUCCUCUGUAUUUUUACGCAUGUGAUGAAAAAUCUGUGUUCGAGUUCAACAAGCAUACAUAUACUCAAGCCCGCUCUCUGGCGAAGUUUGUGAUUCAAAGCCAUCCAGUCAGUUUGUCUCUUCGAUUUAGAGUGCACUAGUGAUUAUAUGCUUGCUGGAAAGGCUAGGAUGGAAGAAAUUAAUCUCGUGUGUAUAUUUUCCGUUAACUGUUGUGGUCGCCAAGUAAGUGGCCAGAGUUGGUGGCCGUCGGUCGGGUUAGGUGACCGUCGGUAGGUGUUGGUUCAGUGGUGAUGUGUGUGCCAGCGACGAUGCGUAUAGAGGUUGAUUCGUCGCCGAUAAUUCUGGUUCGGUCAAGUCGCAGAAGGAAAAGAGAUUCGGGGAAGAAGAAGGCGCAAGGUUGAAGAAGAAGGCGUAAGGGUAAAAAGACAAAACAGGGAAGAAGACAAAAGGGAGAGAAUAAAAUAAAUUAAGAAAAUCAUUAAAAAAUUAAAAUUUCGAAAAAAUUUUCGUUUUUUAAUCCAACCAGGUAGGAUUAGGGGUGAGCAGCGGUUUAGGGUCGAUCCUGGACCAACCCUGGACCGGCCCAACCCUGCUGGUCCUGGUCCGGUUUUCAAGGGGACUGGGUCGGUCCUUGGUCCUAAAAUUCCCGGACCAAUACUGUGCGGGUUGGUCAUCGGUCCUAAGAAUUUUGGGUCGGUCCAACCCUGGACCAACCCUGUAUAUUAUAUUAUAUUAUUUAUAAUUCUUUUAUAUAUUCAAACCUAAGUAAAAUGUCUAUUAUAUUAUAUUAUAUUGAAAUGUUCUAUCAAUAGCACUAAUAAUAAUUUCAAUUUAAAACUUUUGUUAAGUAUUAAUUAUGUGUCGUUUGUUUUGUUUUCAAGUGUUUAGAAGUUCAAGUGAAUUAACAAGAUGUGAAGUUAUAUAUUCAUGGUUUAUAUUAAGUAUUUUGAACUUUUUAUGAUUUAAUUGUAUUUUACUAAUGAAUUCCAGCUGCACUUUGCUUUUUAAUUUGUGUCAAAUGGUAGAAGUUUUUGAAGAGUAGAGUAGUACUGCAGUUGCUACGGUGAUUUGCUAGUCAAGUGAUGUGAAGCUCAUUUUUUGGUUGAGUAGACUCUAUAUGAUCAAAUGUUAGUUAAGUGGUGCGAAGCUCAUUUUUUGGUUGAGUGGACUCUACAUGAUUAGGAAGACGCUUUUGCAUAUGGUGUUAUAAAUAUUAAAGAUAGAUGAUUACAAGAACUUUCCAUCUUGUCCCAUAUCUCGAUGAGCGGUUAGCGGAUACAAAAUUUAUAUUAUUGUGUCAUCUUAAAUUUGCUAAAUAUGUAUUGAUAUUUUAUAGUUUAGUUGCACAAUACGGUAUUGUUGAUGGAUGUGUAAUUUGAAUUUGUAGGUUUGCUUUUUUAGGAAGUAUAAAAAAUAAGACGAAAAAAAUUAUCGAUCGGUCCCGGGUUGAUCCUGGAACCGGACCGAACCCAUUGGGUCGGUCCGGUCCUUGGUCCUAGGCUUAAUAGGGUCGGUCCUCAGUCCUAAAAAUUGAGGACCGACACUGUACGGGUUGGUCCUAGGGUUAGGGGGUGGCCCGGACCAACCCGGACCAUGCUCACCCUUAGGUAGGAUUCGGUUGACGGGUCAGGCCAACUGGUCGGAUCGGGUAAACGGUCCGAACCUGUUCCCCUAAUAUAAUAAUAAUAAUAAAUUUUAAAUUUUAAAAUUUUAAAAAUCAAAAAUUAAAAAUUAGAAAAUGAUAAAAAAAGUUUUAAAAAUUUUGGAAAUAAUAAAAAAAUUAGAAAUUUUACAAAAUCAUUAAAAAAUUAAAAAAUCCGAAAAAGUAGUUAAAAAUAAAUAAAAAAAAUAAUUGAAAAUAUAAAUUAACUAAGAUUUUAAAAAUUUUAAAAACUGAAAAACCCUUAGAAACCCAACCCUAAAAUUGGAUAAGCCCUUAGGGUCUUACAUUUUUUUUUUUGUUUUUGUUUUGUAUUCUCUUGUUUUCAUUUGUAGGAACGAUAUUAGAAUGCUUGUGUGCUUUCUUUCAUGAUUAUAAUUGAUUACAACUCUCAAUAUAUGGAUGUUACUUUCUUGUUUUUGAAUGGUUAAGAUGAACCUUAGAUUUUUUUUUUUUUUUUUUUUUUUAUAGACUGCUAUGGUGUCAGUUAGCACGCUAUUAAAUUAGGUAUCAAAAGGGCGUUAGCCUUAGCGCUAAAGUAAUCAAGUACCCAAAGUUUAGAAUCUCUAGCUGCAUAAAUAGUAAGAUAUUCUCCCAUAUCUUAUUGGUUUUUAAUUGAUCGCAAAAGAGCUAGUGGUGACUCUUUAAUCAAAAUUCGCAUAGGCUUAAUUGAUGAAAAAUGUGAACACUCGAUAUCGUGCGAGGUAUGGGUUUAGGCGAGCCCGAGUCAAUAGAAGGCCAUUGGACUGAUAUUGACAAUGCCCCUAAACCAAAUAGUCUUGCUCACGAGGGGUUAGGUCGCGACAAGCUAAAUUUUAAUCUUAGUAGAAAAACUUGAUUUAAUAAAUUCACUUAAUAUAUUAAAAUGCAUUGCCUGAAAUUGUAAAUGUCAUGAAAAGCACUAUAUUUCCCUUCAUAUUUGACUAGUGAAAAUUUCCUCUAACCAUGCGUAUGAAAAUUUCAAGUUAUGUAUCAUGCGAAUUGAAUUAGUGCAAACCUAUACAUAAAAGUAUGUGAUGUGCAUGUUUGUCAACAUAGCCCUCCCUUUAGUAGGUGCAUGGUAUAUGAGCGGACUAGGGCCAUACCUAGUAUAAUGAGGGUGGGGUGUGAUUGUUAGGGUGAGAAACCUUGAACAAUUUGCAUAUCCUAAAGGACUUCAAGGAUGGCAAAAGUAACAAUGAUGGAUCAGGCCACACAUUGAAUGGAGGAAGUAUCACCUGGGGGACAAUCAACACUGAUGAGGACAUUGGUGAUUUAAGUUGAUGAGUUGGUAACAUCUAGAGUCGUACAUUGGAUGGGUGAGGCAUUAUAAUGUUAUUAAAAUGAAAGAAAAAUAUUACUUUAUUUUUCAAUUUUUUUUAUGAGGGUUAGAAAUAGAGUUCAAGCUUCACAUUGUAAUUUAGUUUUCAAAUAAUCAAUAUUUGAGUUUGAUUGAGUUUAAUCUCGAACACACAUGCUAUAUAGAAUUCAGCUCGAGCAUGGGAUUGAGAAACUGAGUUUUGUCAUACAAUCUAAUAUCAAACUAUCAACAUCAAGUUAAACUUUGCGUCAAAAAACUACUUCAAAUGAAUUUAUAGCUUGAUUGUGCCUUUAUAGCAUUUUUUUUAUAUAAUUAUAAUGAUGUACCUUAUCUUAGGCACUUUUAGUGCAUUGAUCCACUAAAUGAUAUGCUACUUCACCCCUCGCAUGCCAACAAGAGUGACGCUAGUGGUCUUCAAAUCUUCACAAGCCUCUAGGCCGCAUGUGGUUGUCCGGACAUUUUUGCCGGAUAGGAUAAUGUCGGAUAUGAUAAGGAUAUGAUAUAAUUAAAUAUCCAAUCCAAUGUUUGUUGACAUUUGGAUAUAAUAUGAAUUCAAAUAAAUAUUAUCCAAAUAAAUAUCUAAUUUACAGAACUAAAACUAAAAAUAAACUAGGGAAAUAAAACAACCUCUCUUCCUCAUGAAGCAAAGGAGGAGGCCGAAAGCGCUCAACUCAACUUUCCACAAAGGAAAGAAAAGGCAGAACUUUGCCGGAAAGUGAGGCAAAUUGAAAUCUCUUUAUCGGAGAUAGCCAAUCAUGUGGAUCUUCAAUGAAUAAAUGAACUCGAGAAAAAACCCAACUUUGCACUUUGCCAGAGAUGUCAAGUUACAGGGUCGAUCAUUUAAGGAUGAUAUUGUCAAAUCUGGGUCUUUAGCGUGUGUUGAACAGAGGAGAGAGCACGGAAUGCUAUUUGGAGAGAUAAAGGGGAUGGGGGCAGUUUUUUUUAGAGAUUAUUGAAAUAAUCUUAGGCAACGCUUGAGCUUUUUGCCUGUUCCUUUCUAUUCAUCCCUGCUUUUCUCAUUCUAUAUCUAUGCAGGCAACCACGAAGGGUGGCUUGGCCAUGGACGGUCAACAACUGCGAGCUGCCACGACUAAUAUGGUGGCUCGACCAUGGACCCUGGCUCUAGAUCUCACCUCAUCGAUCACAAACUAGUGGUGUCACUGACUAGAUCUGGUCGGCUCUGUCUUCCCAAGGCCGCCACGACUUUGGCCAGAUCUAAAGGAGAGGGGAGGAAGAGAGAAAUUUUAUUUUUCAAAUUUCACAUAUCCUAUUCAGGUAGAGGGUGGGAUUUUUUUAUCCGAACUAUAUUUGGGCUAUAUCUAGUGAUAUCCGGAUUUCGCGUCACUCCAAACACUAGAUAGGAUAAAAAUGAUCAUAUCCGGAGAAUUAUCCGGUCUACCAAAUGCAACCCUAGAGUCUAAAACAUGGACAAGUCCGGUAAGAGCUUAAUUCCUGAAAAAUAAAAUUACAAUCAAUCUAUUGAGAAAGUUUAAGAAAAGGAAUAGCAUGAUCAAAUUAUGCAGUCAAAUCAAUUAGUAAUCCAUAUGAACUAAUGUUUACCAUGUUUAAUUUAUUUGCCAAUGUACACUACAUACAAGAGAUUAGACUAAGAUGUUCUAAAUUCCUAAACUAGAUAUUGACAAAAGUCAAAUAUGUAGGUUAACUGCGUUUAUGAGAAAAGACCUAUACAUAAGAUGAAACAAUAUCAUGUAAAAAUAUAUAGUAAAUCUUGCGGGAUUCGCAUAGUGAUUAAAGAAAGGAAUUGUGUGUGUGGAUUGAGCACAUCAUGAGAGUUCAAUUUUCCACACCAGCAAAUUUAGACAAUUUUAUACCCUACCUGGUCCAUGAGAUUAGUAAUAUAUGUCAUGGGCUUGACCUUUUAGCCGCUUAAGAUAUAAGCUUCUAGGUGAGAGAAAUAACUUAUUACCCGAAAAUGAAAAGAUUAGUUAAUCAAGUAGAUAAAGCCUUCCCUCCUCCUUUCCCCCCCUUUGUAUCUAGCAUAGUUAUGGAAGCAGGUUGAUGAAAUUUCGUCUAUGUGAUUUUGCGUACGUGUGAAUACAUUUUGUGUUUUUAGGUAUAUCACAACUUUGAUGAAAACUGGUUUGUUCCCAAUCUAGCUAAAUUAAUAAUUUUUUCAUGGACACAAUCAACUAAACUAUAGAAGAAAUUAAAAUCAAGACUCAACCUCAACAUCAAAAGUUAAAUAAGUAGCGGAAAUUGACUCUAUACUCUACUGGAAAUGAAACCUUCACGACUUAAAGACUGAAUGCCUGGAAGAUCGACUAAUUCAUUUCCUAUUUGAAGUGGCUUUAAAUCAAACUGUAAAAGGUAGGGGAGCACACAGAAAUACAUCAUCCACCAAUUAAAUAAGUACUUUAGGUGCUUCUAGAGCACAAAUCCUGCUCGGCCGACACCAACCACACGCAAAAUUCAAGGAACACUCAAUUUUAUCAAGGACAUAAGUCACUUGAUUUGUAGUUGUGUUCUUGAAACACCUCCCCUAGCAAUAUUUUUUUUUUUCAAUUGUGUAUCGAGUAUUUGACUUUUUUAAUAUUGAAAAAAGUGUACUAGAAAUCCUAAAAUUUAUUGUAAAAGUGCAAUUAAGAAAAAAUACAACUAAGUCCUAAAAUUUGUCAAUUUGAUGUAAUCAAGUUUCUCUAUUAAUUUUGUCCAAUUUAGUUGAUGGAAAAUGCUGACAUGGCUUCUUUUCUUCUUCUUUUUUCAUUUCUCUCUCUUACUGGCAUAGAGCUUAAAAGAAAAGGUCCGUGUGCAAAAACGUCGUUGUUUAAGAUUCAGCCCAAAUUUCCAAGCCAUAAUUGAGUUUUCCUUCUCAAGUUUUGUUUACUUCUUCAUCCGUCUUUCGUCCAGAGUGUCCAUAUUAUUCGUGGAGUUCGCUUCUUAAUUGUCGAUCCUCCUGUUCUUUGUCCAAGUGUCCUUCUUCUUCUUCGUCGAGUCCCCAAAUUUCCUCUUCAAUCGAACGUGACGAGGUCGAGUCAUCGCACAGGAGCUUGAUGAGCCAACAACGACGUCGAGUCCUCUUCGUCCAAGCCGUUAUAAGCCACUACAUCGACCUUAAUCCCCUUUCUUGGAUUCUUCUUUCGUUCUCAUGGAGCUACGGAAACUCAUUUGAGGUGUUUUCUCUUGGGGAUUAUUAAAUAUGUCUGAAGUUUGAGAGUGAAGUCAAUGUUACAGCAGGUGGCUGCAUCUAUUUGAAAUACCGUGAAUUAUGUUUAGACAUAUUCUCAUGGUUUAUUCUAAUUGUCAGAUACUAAAUGGAAGGCAGUUGUUUUGUGGCUCAACAGCCAAAGCAGAAGCAAAAGAAGGGUAGAGCACAAAAAGCGUGCUCAAUUCUGUGAUUGAGACUUGGUGUAAGCAAAAGUAGCAAGCUUUUCCGACCUGCCUAUAUCUCCUUUCCUUCUUUGUUCAUCCUACUGGCAAGCGGCUGCUGUUCUUCGGUCAUUCCUGGUCUCAAAUAACAAGACUCGGUCUGAGUGAGGGUUUGAACUUUUGAGAGCUUUUUCUUUAGGAUUUUGUCACGGGCUGAGAGUUUCCUUGGCCUUGGAACGACCCGCGGGCGUUUGGCGAGCAUAAUUCGCCAGGCCAGCCUUGAUUCGUGUAGCUAUUCCAGUGAACGAUACGGUGAAUGCUUUUUCGUGCGAGAUCCUACCACGCCCAGCGUCACUCGGGCGUCUAGUCCAUCGAGUGAGACAUUAGAUAUCUUUUAGGCACAACAAUUGGUUUCGGCCUACCAUGGCCUCGUCAGGAGAGCGGUAUCAGCUCCCGACCAAUUUGUGCAAGGGAGGCCUACCCCGUCUUUAGAGCUCCUAAGUGAUAUAAUCCUUCUAUCCUAGAACUCCUAGUACCAAUUGUUCUGAUGCCACUCUCACGGACCAGUUGUGUUUUAGCCUUCCACCUCCUCACUCUUCACUCGAUAACCCCUAGUGCCACUCACAAGUGUCACGAGAACGGGAGAAUUCACGGACCGUGAAAAUUCCGUGUUGGGUUUCGCUUGGAGGAGUUUAAGUUUGUUUAUUCGAGGCUUUGCCUCUCUUAUUGUGGCCAUUUUCUGUUACAUUUACGAUCUUAUCAGAUAUUCUUGUGACCAUUCGCCUGCAGUGAAUCAAGAUAAUAGACGAACAUUUUAAUUGAGUUGCGAUCUCUUACUAAGAAUUGUUAAUACUUCCUGUCUUUGUGAUUUAUAUCCAUGGGAAACACAAGACGCAUGGUCAUUCGUGUGGGUUCAUGCGCAAUACAGAUAAGCUCUGAAUUAGAAGAGAAGGUUGAAAAAUUACGCAAUGGUGAUGAGCUACGUUCUAAUUCAGAGACUGAAAUUGAGUAGUCUCAAGAAGAGACUACAGAUGUGAAUGCAUCAGGUAAGACCUACUUACAUAUAUAGCGUGUAAUUUUUCAUCAUAAUAUACUAAAAUGGUCCGAUUAUUGAUCUGGUUUGAUAAUAUUAGAUCCAUCUUUCAGUAUUUAGAAUUUCUUGUCUAAUAGCUACCACCAGAAAAGGGAAGCAUAGCUUUACAUGUCUAUCAAGUGUAUACAGUCUUUCUCGCGGGAAAUACAUCAUUGUCAAGGUAGGGAAGAAAAUGCAACCUAUUGGAGGUUUAGGGAGUUUCUCGGAACCAUUGCUUGCAAGUUGGCACCAUUGUUUACAACUUGAAAGCAAAUUACCAAGGAUAUGAGAAACAGUAUGAUUGGGAUUGUAGAGGUAGGUAGCUUGUUGUGGCAUGAAAUUCCAUUCAUGUUUUAAAUAAAUUUAACAUCAUUAUUAAUAUUUCCUUUCCGUCUAAGCAUGAUUAUCUUCGUACCAGCUACAGAAAAAUGGAUUCCACAAUCCUAAAUGUAGGUAUUGGAAAAGUGAUUUAAAAGCUGCUCGCUAUGAUAGCUCUCAAUCAUUCUCAUAUCAUUUGAAGAAUCUAUUGGAGAGAGUGAGAGAGAUCAAUGCACAAUUCUCAUCACUUUUUGGAGUUCAAAGGAAAGGAAGGGAAGGUGCGGAUCUUGUUAUGGGAUUGUUUUAAUUGACCUGUCAACAUUAAAUGGACUUUCAUUACCUGUUCAUGACUACUUUGUGAUAACCUUUCUAUUUUUCAUCUUUUUCAUUGCAAAAGCUGAUUGGUGCAAAUAAGGCUAACGAAGCAAAACAAAAGAUACAACACACCUUAGAGAGUGAAAAUUCGGCUAGAAUAACAACAGAAAAGGUACUCUCAUGUUUACUUAAAUUUUUGUGUUCCUUAUAAGUGAUAUUUCCAUUGUGUAAAUCAAUAAUCUUGCUUUAGAAAAGAUUAUGCUAAGGUGAUAUAUUUUUGGACCUAAGGUAAAGAUGUCUAGAGAUAUUUGCCACUUUUCCAACAAUAUGCAUGUUUUGAACAGCAAUUGUCAUAGGAAGAUAACAUAGAAUGUGUUCUAGCAUUGCCUCCUUAAGAUUGUCUAUGUUAUCAGCACCUGCAUUAAUAUCUUGUUAUUCCCAUAGCUUUGUGAUUUGGGUUUGCUAGUGACAGCACAAUAAUCUAUAACUUGGUGGGGUUUAUCUAGCACACAUAGUCCACCAUCAUUAACAAAAGAGCUAUACAGCAGUUAGAGCUGUAAAGUAAAUUUGAGAUGAUGAAACUUGUACAAUUUUCUAUUAAUUUGUGAACCUGACUGCAGUUUGGUUUAAUGAGAGAUAUUGCAAAACAAAAAAGUACUGCAGCCUUGGAGUGUGACAUAUUGAAAUUCGACCUCAUUUCGAUAAAGUGAAAUGGACAUUUCAUCGACAUACUUAUGGUCCUUUUUCUCUGAGCUGAUCACUCACGAAUUAACUAACUUAUUGGAUGAAGCCAUUAAGGGAUGUAUCCGCGGUAAAAUCCAUAAAAGCUACCUAAUUAGUUGGACUGGGCUAAAAUCACGUUUGAUCGAUUCUAACCAUGAAAUUUAAUUUGGUUUCGGGAAUCGAAUAUUUGAGCGUGUCACAAUUCAUUUUUAGGAUCCUAUCUCAUCGUCCGUCAAAUUAUUGACGCGUCCGAAAUUUCGGGAAAGAAAUUAUCGGAGGAAAAAUUGAAGACCGGAAGAAAUUAAAAAGAGAAAGGAGAAAUAAUAGAAGUAAUUUGAAUAGUAAAUUUUUUACUAUUUGAUUACUUUUUUAUUUUCUUUUUCUCUCCCUUUCUUUUUCUCUCUUUUCCCUUCCCCCCUUCGUGCGCACUCCCCCUCCCCACUGACCGAAUGCCCCUUGCCAAUUUCAAAUUGGCUUCUCUCUCUCCUUUUUACUUUUGACUAGUCAAAAAGCCUUCAUCUUAUCUCUUCUUUCUUUCUUCUUCUUCUCUCUCCUCUCUCUUCUCCCCCACUCCCCCACGUGACCGAAUCCCCUCCUUCCUCCUUCUUCGUGCAAACCAGCGAACCAGGAAGAGGAAGACAGCAGCUCGCCGAAGCCCAUCGCCGCCGCACCGGAGCUGGACCUCCACCCACGCGACGCCCGCCCGCGCACGCCGCGCGCUCCACCGCUUCCCGCCCGUGCCUGCCGUCCUCGCCGUGCGCCGUCCAGCCCCGUUCAGCCUCUGCUCAGCCCUUGUUCCGCCCCGUCCGGCCAUCUCCGGCCACCGUUCGAAGCCGCCGGACCUCCACCGGUCCUCCCCCACACCUUGCCGCCCUUGUUGAAGUGAUUUGUGGCUGUUUUGUGUUCUUUUUCAGUGCGCGCAGCCACCCCACCGAGUGGGUUUCCAGCCCCCUUCAGUCUCACUUUUGGGCGGUUUCCGGGCCCCGAAACCGAGCCGUGCGUUGGGGUUUAUUGUUCCUCGUGUCGUCCCUGUCGGAUUGGUACAUUUUGCGCUUAAUUCCGAUGAGUAAUCUCACUAAUUCCUGCUUAGUUUGUUAAUUAUGCUUAGGGGUUGGUUAGGUUUAAUUAAAUGCAAUUAGGUGGUUAGAUUAGAAUAGAUUAGUGAUUAUUAGAUAAAUGUGAUGCAUAUUAGACAAUUUGAUUGUGUAAUUAGCAAGUAGACGUAGUCUACUAUUUAUUGAAAGCAUCUCAGGAUUUUUCCCGACCUUUAGCGGGCUUCAAUUAGGCAAUUCGGGCAUAAAUUGGAUUUUUAGUAAUUAAUUAUUAAUCUUCGAAAUUAAUUAAUUAAUUAUUUAUUUUCCGAAAUUUAACCCGGGAUGGCCGUGACCGGGAAUUUAUGCUGGUGAUUGUGGUGAAGUCCGUUUAUUUAAUUGGGCUUUAUUUGAGCUAAAUUGAAUUUUUAAUAUAAUUAAUUAUUUUCCGAAAUUAAGGUUGAGAUGACCGAUGACUGGAAUUUCGUGCUGAUUGUCGUGGUGCAAUCCGUUUAUUUAUUUGAGCUCUACGUUGCAUGGAAUUAAAUUAAUUGUGAUAUUUUAUCAAUUUAUCUUAAAUUGAUGGAAAUUGAGUGAAAUUGAAUGAUUGAUUGGUAGAUGGCCGAGUAUGUUUAUUUAAUAUUUAUAAUGCUUUGUUGAGUUGUAAAGUGGAUGGAAUCAUGAGAGUGAAUUGGAAAUACUCUAGGCUAUAACCGAUUAGGUACGAUGUGAUGGACCUACGUGGUUCGGUGACUAAGGACGUCACUGGCGAAAAUGGCGCCUUAAAGAACGCACAUAUUGGUCUAGUACUCACAUCGUCAUAGGCAUGUGUGGUUCGGUGAUUAAGGACAUCACUGGCAAAAACAGCGCCUUAAAGAACGCACGCAAUUGUCUAUUGAACACAUCGUUGUAGGCAUGUGUGGUUCGGUGAUUUGGGAUAUCAUUGGUGAAAACGACGCCUUAAAGAACGCAUGCAAUUGUCUAGUGGAUACGUCACCUUGGCGAAGUUGACGCCCGAGAGCAUUAAGAUGGCUCUGUGACUUAGAGUGUUAUUGAAGGUUUCAUGGUAUGAGAUGAAUGACCUAGUGAGGGUUCGAUUGACAUGUAAUCGAUUAAGUCGAUUGAACUGUGAUUUGGCUGAUUGUUCAUUGAGAUAUAUGAAGCAUCUGUAUAUAACCUUGAAUUACAGGUUGGGACUGAUGCCAAAGUACGUCUUCUGACCUAUGCGUGUUUAGGUAGCCUAUAGUAUAAUGGUUUACUAAUCGGGUCUUAGUGGGGUAGAACUUGUUGAGAAGCAGUCUCAUCUUGGUUGUGGGACAACAUUUCAGGCCCGUAAAUGAACAUGAGGAGAAGGAAUCGGAGAAGGAGAACAUUGAAGUGAAACUUGAGGAGGGGAAAGAUUUUUGAAGAAGAAGAUGAUCCAAGAAGGGAUCCUGAGUACGAUCGGAUGAGGACUGAGGUCCCAUCUUCUUUUGGGAAUCCUGUUUUGAUGUGAAUAGAGUGAAAUUAGAAAGCCGUGAAUAGUUUGUGAAAUACUUUGAGUUAUGUUCUGUAUAAAAGUAUGGUUGUGAAUUUCAAUAUAAAAAAUAUGACUUUACUUUUCUAUCCCAUUGUUUUAUUGUCUAGGGAUUAUAACUGCUUCCGCAUGUGCUUAAUAAAAGAAAGGGUUGGCGAUACAUAGUUCUGAGAUAUCGCAUUAUAAAAUUGACCAAGAGAGAAGGAUGUGUGCGUGCCCGAGGAUCGGGGCGUGACAUGGAGUACCCAAGUACUAGCUGUGCCACCGCACACAUCCCCAUAAUUGUUGAAAAGUUAUUCAAUAUAGUUCAUCUAGUGUCAACAAAUGUUAUGCGGUCUUGGCAAUGACAAUAUUGUUGUUACAAUGUAUUAGGAAUUUAUAUAGUUAUCUGUGUAGAAGACGAAUGAAUCAAGAAAAGAGGGCAAGCUGGAAUAAAUAGGCUAAAAUUAAAACCUAAAAUCUAACUUCCUAGUGUGUGUUUUCAUAUGGUUUUGGUCGAUAAAGUCAUAUAACAAAUCAGCAAGGAACAACUAUAGUUAGGAAGAAUGUGAUUACUUUCUCAAUUUGAUAUCUCUGGACAUAUUUUCCUGUUUCAUAGUAAAGUGCGAGAUAUUGAAUGUCUUCUUGAUAUGGUUCAUUUAGUUAUGCUGACUAAACCAAGUUCUAGCACAUGAUAGGAAGUAGAGUUAAGAAUCAAAGGCAAUCAUAAGUAUUUAAGACUUCAGCUUAAUAAAUAGUAACAUCAUUGGUUUAUAAGGUUUUUAUGUUACUAAAUUGCACGGAAGUAUGAAUGAUCUCAUGGAGGUAUAUUUGGAACUUGGACAGAGCGAUAACCCCUUGAAAUAGUGUUUCUCUAGUGUUGGGAAAAUAGAAACCUAGAUGGUCUGAUGUUAGAGCAUAACCCAUGCUCAAAUGAUUUGGGGCCUCCAAAUCUAGUUUUCUUCUAACCAAUAACUUAAGGUCAAAGAAAGCAAAGAACGAAGAGAUUCACAAGUUGAAGGAAUCUAGUUGUCUUCCAACCGAGAACUUAAGGUCAGAGAAUGAGAAAGAUGAAGAGAUUCACAAGGUGAAGGAGAUACUGAAAGCAACAAAGAGAAAUUACAAAAGACAAAUGGAGAUGUACAAGAGUUACAGGCUCAAAAAGCUGCUACUAUUAUACAAAAUUGUCUACAUGCGGUGGACUUGAAGUGGUCUCACAAGAUUUGGACAAGGUAAGUAUGUCAUGAGCCAUGAGGUGUGACUAAUUUCAUUGAAUGUUACAGUAGUGAAAGGUGUUUUAUUUACUAAAUACUGAGUGAUCUUAAUAUUGGACACUAUGGUGGUUUUAAAGGGAAUAUAGGUGGAUGGACUUGAAACAUAAGUAUGGUAUCGGGAUCGCUUCAAUGGAGCUUGGAAGUGGAAUAAAAAUUUAGCAUAUUGUUACUAUGUUUUAUCUUUUUGCUCUAACUAAAUCAUGUUUUGGGUUCACUUCUCUUGCAUUAUGCCUUGUCCUUUUUGUUCAUUUUGAAGUAUACAAGUGAUUGCCCUUAUUAGUCACUGCUUGCUAUUUCUUUCCAUGUUUCCAGAUAGUCACUGUUGAGCUCUCUUUUCCUUCUCUGUAUAGAUCCGGGAGUGUUAUAGCAUCUUUUCUAUUGAAGAGAAGGUGAAAUGUUGCCUGUUUUGGCACUUGAGAGUGGAUGAGGGACAAAGUCAAAUACUUGGAAAUAGUCUCUGUUGAUGUAUGGGUUUAUUAGAUUACCUAAAACCAUAUGCUGAUAACCUUACUCUAUAUUUUUUGCCCUCAAUGCAAUUCUUCUUCUUCUUGCUCUUAAGGUUGGGCUUCUAUUUUCAUAAUCGAACUUCUCAACUUUACUGUGUUGCAGCAAUGAUUUUGAUUUACUUAAUCAAAGAUUGUCCGCACAGGCCGAUGGGAUCUCAAUUGCCGCCGCCGCCACCAAUGGGACAGAACAGAGGAAACAUGCUACAGGAUGCAUUGCAGACAAGGCACUAUUAGGAUGGCAAAAGGGGCAGGAAUGAAUCGAGGUAUGCAUCGAACAUGAAGGAUAGUGAUCUCGGAAUAAUUUUAUUUGAGUGGCGCAACGGAAAUAUGUUUAAGCUUGUAGAACUUCAAUUUAUUGAAAUGGAGUCGUAGAAAGGAGAAUCGCUGGCUAGAGUUGUACUUGAAUAUUUUGCCUAUGUAUAACUUUAAUGUCAUAUAUAAAAAGGUUUGACUCAAUGAGCAUCUUGUUGUAAUGAAUUGUGUGUUCAAGGAGUAUCUGGAUCAGUUUAUGAUCGUUUUCAUUGACAAUAUCCUAGUGUACUCGAGAAGUCCAGAGGAGCACGAAAGACAGUUGAGGAUAGUACUUCAGACUCUGUGAGAUCAUGGAUUGUACGCUAAGUUCAGUAAGUGUGAGUUUUGGUUAACUCGUGUGGCUUUCCUAGGUCACGUGAUUUCAAGCGAAGGAAUCUCCGUGGACUCGACUAAGAUUGAAGCAAUUAUCAACUGGCUAAGACCAACGACAGUGAUAGAAAUCAGAAGCUUUUUGGGAUUGGCAAGUUACUAUAGAAGGUUCGUUGAAGGAUUUUCAACAUUAGCCUUACCUUUGACUUGACUGUUGAAGAAGGAAGAGAAGUUCGCAUGGACAGAUAAGUGUGAGCAUAGUUCCCAAGAGCUUAAGCAGAAGCUGAUUACCUCACUAACGUUGACAAUUCCAUCUAGACUUGAAGGAUACGAGAUCUAUAGUGAUGUGUCAUUUAGAGGACUGGGUUGUGUGUUAAUGUAGCAUGGUAGAGUCAUUGCAUACGCAUCCCAUCAGUUGAGACCUCAUGAGCUGAAUUACCCAACGCAUGACUUAGAACUCGCAGCGAUUAUUUUCGCCCUGAAGAUUUGGAGACAUUAUUUAUGCGGAGAAAGGUUCCAGAUCUUUACAGAUCAUCAAAGUCUCAAGUAUUUAUUCUCUAAGAAGAAGUUGAAUAUGAGACAGUGUCGCUGAAUGGAACUUCUCAAGGACUAUGAUUGCAACAUCCUAUAACACCCUGGAAAGGCUAAUAAGGUAGCAGAUGCGUUGAGUCGGAAGUCUUCGAUUGUGCAGAUGAUGAUUAAGGAAUGGAUCAUACUCGAGAGAACUCGAGAUUCGGUCUUCAAAUUUGAGGUAGGCCACCUUUCAAAUCUUAUGGCCACCCUCAUAAUUGAACCAGAAGUGUAGAUAAGAAUCAAGACGUUACAGUUGACAAACGCAGAGAUCCAGAAGAUUCUGCAAGAGGAUAUAGACAAGAGAAAAGCUGAUUUUCAUAUUUUUGAAGACGGAAUGUUGAAGUUUCGUGGACGAUUGUGUGUACCUGACGAUGUAGAGCUUAAGGAAGAGAUUUUAUCAUAAGCUCAUCAUAGCAGUUACAGCAUUCAUCUAGGCAAUACGAAGAUAUCAGAAUCUGUGUUAACACUAUUGGUAGACCGGUAUGAAAGCGGAUAUCGCCAAGCAUGUCACCAAAUGUCUUAUGUCUCAACAAAUGAAGGCACAGCACUAUAAACCGGGCAACCUCUCAAGAUUCCCGAGUGGAAGUGGAAACACAUCACAAUGGACUUUGUGAUUGAGUUGUGGUUGACAAAUUGACGAAGUCUGCUCACUUCAUCGCUGUACGAAAGGACUAUGCAUUGGACAGAUAUGCAAAAUUGUACAUGCAUCAAAUUGUUCGUCUUCAUGGAGUGCUAGUGACGAUUACAUCUGAUAGUGACCCGAAGUUUACGGCAGCCUUUUGGAAAAUUUUACUGACUACCUUAGGAACAAAGCUGUAGUACGGUACGACCUAUCAUCCGCAGACAGAUGGCCAGUCUAAGAGGACAAUUUAGACCCUCGAAGAUAUGUUGAGAGCUUGCAUGCUAGACUUCAAAGGAAGCUAGAAGGAACGGCUUCAUCUCGUCGAGUUUGCCUACAACAACAGUUAUCAGCAGAGUAUUUAGAUAGCACCUUUUGAGGCGUUGUAUGGCAAAGUGUGCAAAACUCUAGAGCGGAAGAUUAUAGACCCAAAGUUGGUUUAACAGUCAGUAGAUGCAGUUACAGUUAUUAGAGACAGAUUAAAGACAGCUCAGAGUCGCCAGAAAAGCUAUGCCUAUAAGCGUCGAAGACCAUUGGAAUUCCAAGUUGAUGAACACGUCUUUUUGAAAGUGUCACCAAUAAGGGGUACUCCGGCAAGAAAAGGAAGUUGAGUCCGAGGUACGUAGGUCUCUUUGAGAUUCUGGAGAGAAUAAGGACUCUGACAUAUCGUCUUGCAUUGUCGUCGAGACUGGCGCAAGUGCAUGAUGUCUUCUACGUGUCGAUGUUAAGAAAGUAUGAGCCUGACCCAACCCACGUGCUGAAUUUUGAAGAAUUAGACGUGGAUGACAAAGUGUCAUACGCGGAGAGAGUAGUUCAAAUUAUGGAUCGGAAGGAGCAGGUUCUGCGCACCAAGACGAUCCCAUUAGUUAAAGAGGUCUAGCAACACCAUGGGACAGAAGGAGCAACCUGGGAAAGUGAAGACUCGAUGAGACGACGAUACUCUAACCUUUUUGUUUAAGAUUUGUAAUGGUUUAAAUUUCGAGGACGAAAUUUUUAUAAAAGGGGAAGAAUUGUGAUAUCCUGAUUUUCAGCCCUAUCUUUGAUGAAAAGAAAUGGGCUUUUCAUUGACACGCCUAUGACAUUUUUCUCUAAGUUGGCCACUCACGAGAUAACUAAUCUAUCAGGUGAAGCCUUAAGGAAUCUAAACGCAAUAGACUUGAGAAUUCGAUAAGAAAUCGACUGCUUGACCGUGCUAAUCUGUAAGGGUCAAUACAUCACCGUCAAAAUCGACCAGAGAUCAAAGAUAGGUCGUUUCAAUCGAGACAUGUAAUUGAAGUGUAGGUGAUUCCACCUAAUUGCAAAAUUCUUGUCGAAUGGCGCUACACCGAUUUUUCUAUUAUUUAUGUACCCUGUGCCCGUAUUUAAAAUCUCAAGAUUUUCACGACAACCGAGAGUCACUUAUGAGUCGAAUAUGUACAAUGUGGCUUGAAAAUAAUCGAUCACGGGUCAAAUGCACUAAAAAUUCCUAAAAGCUACCCGGUAGGUUAGGUCACGCUAAAAUCACGCAUAGUUAAAAUUAACUGCGAAAUUGAACCUGAUUUCAGAAAUUGAAAGUUCUGUCAUGUCACAAUUUAUUUUAGAAAUGUCGUCUCAUCCUUCGAAGAAUUUUUAGUGAGUCCGGAUUUUCGGCGAAAAAUCAAAAUUGGACAAUAUCGGACCGAGAAAUUAAGAGAGCCGUUUUUGUGUGGAUUUUUGGCGUUUGAGAUGGAUCAACUAGCAAGGAAAAUUUUGGAAAGUAGUGUGGGUAUCCUCCUUGGUAAGUUGGCCAUUAAUAGUCCAAUUGGAGAGGAUUUGAAUUGAAAUUGAAGAGGGAUGCACAAAAUUCGUAGCCAUGGGUGGUGUGCAACAUUUGGACCACCUUUGGUGGCUUCUUGGGGAAGUUUGAUGAAGGAAAAUGGGCUGGGGAUAGGGCUGAAGGUGGUGGGGGUAGCCACUUGAGUUCUUGGGAUAUUUGUGAAGACUUUUGAGGCUUUGUGGUCCCCCUCUAGUUACAGUAGCUCUUCUUCUUCCUCCUUGUGUCCCUUGAUCUCCAUCGUUGCUGUUUUGAGAGCCAAAGACCAGCAGAGGAUUAGCCAAGACUAGCCCGCACCCCCUUAUAGUCGCCACACACCGUCCAAGCGUCGCCCAAGCCCGCCAAAGCCAUUGACCGCGCCCGCGAGCUCGUCCGCACGUCCUCACAUCCUGCACGUCCAGGCUAUCAUUUGCCAUUCACCUGGCUACUGUCCGAAGCCGUCAAGCCGCCUCCGUCACCAUCCCGAAGCCCCUGAUGCAGGCUGGUCCCGCCGUCGUCGCCUGGCCACCCAGCUCCAUCCGCCAAGCCGUCGACCAGCUCUUUCGGCCAGCAAGCAAAACUGAAGCUUCAGCUUCCGGCUGAGACUUCAUGGGCCUUUUUCGGGCCUUUUAGGACCUCGUUGGGUGUCGUCGUAGGCUUGAGUCUCACUCACCUCUGCGUUGCCGUAAACUCACCGGCUCUCUAAUUCGGUGAGUUUACUUGCUAAACCUUAUUUAUUGGGUUAAUUAUGCUUAUGUGAUAAUUAGAUUAGACUAAGCUUGGUUUAGGUUGUUAAUUUAGUUUAAUUAGUGAUUUAGUUUGUUAAUUAGGCUUAUUAGGUGGUUAGAUUAGAUUAGUUAAGAGUUAAUUAGAUUGUAUUAUUUCACUAGUAUAGUGCAUUAUUUUUUUAGAUCCAAUUAGGUGGUUAGAUUAGCAUGUUUACCUUAAUUAGGUAUUUAUUAAAUUAAUUUGCAUUUAUUUAUUUAAUUUUGUAAUUUAUUUAAUUAUUUAAUAUUUUUCGAAAAUUAUAUUGGGAUAGCCGGUCGCCGGAAUGUUGUGUCGAUUGUCGUGGUGUAAUUAAUUUAUGCAAUUGAAUAAUAAUUUGUGCAAUUGUGUGGUGAUUGUGAUUUUUGAUUAAUUAUUUCAAUAUUGUGAAAUUUUUGUAUUUAAUUAGAAAAUACCGGGUGUUGGGUUUUGAUACCCGAAAAUGUUUUUAAGUACUAUAUUAAACAAUAUGACUUUUAAAAUGAAGAAUAUCAAUUUUUAAGGUUCGAUCUGACCGUGUACCCACAUACGAUUAUUUUACCAAGUGUUUUUAAUAUGAAGAAAAUAGGCCAAGUUCAUUAUUUUAAUUGAGACAUUUGAGUGCAAAGCACAAUGUCCUUGGCUAAGAUUGGAUAUAUAUGGAAUCACUAUGAGAACCCAUCAUGAGCUUUUGAGUUGGACGAUGCUCCUUUGGGAAUGCCCCAAGUCAACGGUUGCCAGUCGCAGUGGAGGCUGAAUUGAUGCUCCCAUAUGGAAUGCCGUCUAGAUAUAGACGUUGCUGUGCUCGAUGGUGCGAGAUGAAGACCGCUGACUGUUGAGUCGACCGUGACUGUUGGGUCGUAAUCAAUUGGGACGCAUGGAUGAUUGAAAUUAACGCUCCUAAUUAUGAAACAAAAUUGUGUGGCACGAAAUAGGACGUGUCAUAACAAUUUUGCCCUAUAAUCGAGACCCAUGUGAUUGAUUGAGAUAUGAGUAAGACGUUCGAAUUGAUGGGUCCAUUUAUUAUAUGCAUCCGGUAUAUGAAUUGUACUGACAUGCAAGGAGGUGGUGAGGCGAGGUGAGUCUUUAGGAUGUGUGAUUAGACUACCUCUAGGCGUAUUUCCUUCAUAAUCAAGGUUUAGGACGUGAACUCACUGAGAUAUUGUUUCACUCUGUCAUGGGUUUCAUCUUUUACAAGUCCUUAAAUGGAGGAGCGUCACGUGCGGUAUAGGGUUCCGCAGAUGAUGGAUUUUGAGCAUACUUUCAUUCCUAUUCCUGAGACUACCUUGACUUGGGAGUUAGUUGAGUCCGUGGUAUGGGUCGAUGAGGGCUUGCCUCAAUUGGUACCUCACCGAUUCAUAGCAUGGUUCAUUGACUUCCAUCGAGGUGGUUGGGAGGGUCCCUUACGGGGUUUCGAUGGGCCUCCCGUCAAGACUGGGGAGUGGGAGGUAGUGCAUGCUAUGGAUCUCAACACUCCUUAUGGUGUCGUGAUAGAUUCGGAGCCCCCGGAGGCCAUGGAUGAGGAGCCUAGUGACUAGAUGGUUUAGUGGCUCUUCUUUUUGGAGUGGACUCUUGUGUAUAGACUAGUUGUGUAUAAACUUAGUGUGUUUAUAUAAGUGUGUUUGGUUUGAUUUGGUUGUCUUGCUUUUCUAUCCCAUGUUGUUGUUGUUUGGGGAUUGUUUAUUUGCUUCUGCUUGUGCAUUAAAUGAAUGGGUCGGCGACGCGUCCUGGGACAUCACAGUUCUAUCGACCAUCGAGGGAUGCGCGCGUGUUCGAGGCUUAGGGCCUGACAAUAGCCAACUUGCUUGAAAGGAAUCAAGCAUUGUGCGGGUCAAGCUAAUCGAGGUGCCACAAGGUCGACGUGAGAUGACUUCUAGCUGAAAUCGAGGCUCAAAGGGCAAAGUAUAGAUGUUAAAAGGAGGAGUUCGCACAAGUGAAGAAAGAAAAUAUGAUAUAUUAAUUUAGUUGUUCUAUGUUGUGUCAUUGUGCUAGUUGUGUCUAAUGCGAGAUUUGAUAGGAAGUUUCUAAGCCUUCCAUAGUUUAUUGAGGUGAGUGUGCACAUUUGUAUUAGGUUGAAAUACUGAAAGUCCUACUUCCCUCAUCUUCAGUACACUUGUUGCCGCUUCAUGCUUCAAAGUUGCUUUACUACUUAAAAAAUAGAUAUUCUAAUGGAAACUUGUUGGUUGUUUGGCAAUCUGACAGAAAGCUUUCAUCGUUCUUACCAUUCUUAUUGGAGAACUUUUGAUUCAUUCUCAUUCUGUUACGAAAAAUCUAGUGAACUUAAUAGCUUUGGCCUCAUAUGUAGUCCAAUAUAUCCAUGAAUUGCCUGCUAGUCACCUGGUGUAAUUGGCACAUGCUAAUUUGGAUAGGUGCCCUAGAAGCGAGACAAUGAAAUGACAACGCCCUCGAGCAGGGAACAUUCCACCAUAAACAGUGAUUAAAAAUUUGACCCUAAAUGGUCAGAGCAUGAGGAAUGAAAUGAUCUCAUUGUUUACUUUUCCUCAGCCCAAUGGUUUAUCAGAGGUUUAAAUACUUGUGUACUUCUAGGAUAAAGACACUAACAUGUGAUUAUCAAUAACACUAAAAUAUCUCCGCAGAUUUGCCGACCGGUGGGAAAUACUCGUUCUUGUGCUGAAUAUAUUAGUUUCUUUCAACUCUUAUUGAAAUCAUUGAACGGGUGGACAUGUACAGCUUGGGAUUCUGCUUUGCUUUUGUAGGGUCCCUUGGCUCGGAAUCAUGGUCGUCGGUUUCCCAUCACUUUUGGGUGUGUGUCAGUCACAGGCCCUCAUCCACAUUAGAAAGCAAUUUCCAUAAUGCUAUGCCAUUUUGUAGGUCCAAUUCAAUGUAUCAAGUCACAUAUGCAAGCCGCCUUUGGGCUUUUUAGGUAGGUCCCAGUAUUUUUUUACCAGCCUCAUCGAUCAUAAUGCCGAAAUUUCGGGCGAUUGAUUCAGAUAUAGAAGUGUUCCUACUUGAAUGUCAAGUCUUUUAGAAGUCCGUGAUAUGUAUAAAGCAUGUCAUGAAUCAAAUAAAGAUGCGGAUUCAAAAUCUCAAAAAUUCGUUUGACCAUGAGUUUUUUCACACCAGAUGAUAUAAAUGACUGAAUGCAACCAAAACCCAAUAUGACUAUUUCAAGUUCAGCACUCUCAAAGCAUAAAUUAGAUGUACAAAAACCACUGGAAAUUUGAGAGAAACCCUUUUUCUCAAGACCAAUUUCUCUCAACACAGACAUGAAUUACGUCCAAUACAAAAAGCCACACCAACUGCCAAUGCAAUAACCAAAAGCAAAUCGUAGUGAAAGAACUAGCUGUACUCGGACACAAGCAGUGGCGUCCUGACGAGACGUGAUGUCGUGCCUCAUCUGCUUCACCAUCGCCUGUCUCUUGUUCCUCAGCAGCUUUAUAAUCACGAAAACCCCUCACCUCUUAUUUGCUAUUACCAGAACAUAGAGAAGAAAAAGCCCCCAAGUAAACCAUUUUCAAGUGGGGAAUUUCAUGUUGCGCACCUCACGAAUAGUGGCCAAGCUUUUGGUCUUUUCCUCCAUCUUCUUUGUCUUGAUCUCCUCCUCCUUGGCCCUGAAAGUGGACAGAGCCGACCUCGACAUCUCCUCGUCCUCUCUCAACAGCGACAUGCUGCUGCGGAAGCUCAAGCUCCCCGACGAGUUCUGCAGGAUCAGCUGCUGCUGCUGCUGCUGUUGUGCCGCCCUCUGCAUGCCCAACCAUCAAUCGGUCUGUUGAUGCAGCCACGCACACUCUUCCUCCUGCAAAAAUCGGAGACAUUAACAAACCCAUGGCAUCGUAUAUCACCAUUUUUGCGGCCUCACCAGAGGAAGGACACCUAAUUGCCACAUGUUGGCCCUACUCAAAUUUGAUUUGACAAAGAACUGACUAGACCAUUUUUAAGACUCAUAAACAAACACAUUUUAUCCAAGUUUUCAUUUCAUUGCCCGAAGGGCUCCAAACAACAAAUUUGGCAACAUGAAAAAAGAAAAACAAAUACCGUCUUCCCUAAGUCGCCAUCUAAUGCUGAUUAUUGUAACACUGAAAACGUGCCUUUUUCACCCAUAGCACAAAUGGUCCUGUACCGGUAAAAGCUUCAACACCUCAAACCAGAUUGUCCUUGAAAAUCGGCACUCCAAAAAUAGAUAGCACUUUGGAUCGUCAAAUUAUGUAGGCCAGUUCAAGCUCUAAAUUGAAAAUAUCCCAAAUACAAUAUUAAAGAAAUCACACAUUCAUUGGAUAUUCAUUGGACAUUUGGAGAUUCUGAGUGAACAAAUAGCGCUUUAAGCAAAGAUCACACAUUUAUUUUGACUCCCCAAUCCAAAAGAUGGAUUCAUAAUAAUUUGAAAUUGACUUUUCAGAAAAUUUCGAAGGGGCGGCAUGCAUGAUAAUCAAGCCAAGUCCCCAAUUAUUUUUUAGCAUGUUUCCAAAGCAGAGAACCGCAAAAUUGAGCAUUAAAUAUAGUUGCUCCGGCCUUAAUUAAUCCAAACAACAUCAUGUGAACAAUCCGUGCCUUUUUUUUUUUGGACGAUCCUAUCUUUUAUUUUGCUAAGACUAGUAAGAUCGCAAGAACUUCCUGUGUAUGUGCAUAUACUCAUUGACAUCACUCCCAAAUUUCAGACCUAUUCAAUCCGCAAGGGCAAACACCUCAAAUGAGUUCCCAUACCUCCAUCGGAAUGAAAGCAAAGUACAAGAAAAGGGAUUAAGCUCGAUGCAGUGGCUUUUAACACCUUCGUUCACACCGUCUGGCUCGAACGAAGAGGACCUGACGUCGCCGUCGACCUCAAGCUCUUGCACGAGGACUUGACGUCGUCGCAUUCAAUGGAGAAGAAAAAGGAGACUCAGACGAAGAACAGGAGGAUCGAUGAAUGAGAAGCGGACUCCACGAACAAGAAGCACGCUAUGGACGAGAAAGACAGAUGAAGAAGUGAGGAGAACUUGGGAAGAAAACUCAAUUAGGGCUUGGAAAUUUGGGGUGAACCUUAAAAGGACAGAUGUUUUCGCACGCAAACCUUUCCUUUUAAGUUUUAUGCCACAUAGAAGAGAGAAAUGAAUAAAAAAUGCAUAGACAGCAUUUUUCGUUAAUCAAAUUAGAUGAAAUUAAUGGAGGAAUUUGAUCGUACUUUAACAAGUUUUAUGACUCGAUUGCAAUUUUUAUAAAUCUUAAGACUAUUGCAUUUAUCCCUUUAAUGUUCUAUCUUCAUUGUAAAUAUCACAAAUCACGAAAGUCAUUGUCAUAGUACUGAUUGGUAUUAAGUAAGAAAUGGAAAAAAAAAAAAAGUUGCAGUAUAUUAGUUGAAAAGAUGCUAAGUAAAACCAUUUGUUUCUUAUAAAAUGAGAAUUUUUUUUAAAUAAUAAGCUCUAAGCUAUUCUCUCUCUCUCUCUCUCUCUCUCUAUAUUUCCUACAAUAUGAAGUGUUUCUAAAUAUUUGUGAUAAAAACUAAACUUCUCUAACUGCAACUACGUAACUUUCUCAUUCUCAUAUACAGAAAAAGAAGAAAAAAGAUGGAGAGAGAGAGUAUCGCAUGCGUCUACUGGUUUUUAAAGUAAGUGAGACCGAGUUUAAUUCAUGUUUGUAUGAUUGUUUUUUGAUUUUCCACAAUUAUUAUAAAUCUGCCUAUAGUUGUUCAUGUUUGUGGAUGGUUUUUCUGACUCACCUUAUAACGCUUGAAACUCUGGACGGAGCCUGUGAAUUCUUGCUUAACCCCAAGUAAUUUCGGGCAAUGGUAGAUAGAUAAACGGCAAUCAUUUGGCAAUUCGGUGGUUGAUACAUCAAUCAGACUUUCCAAUGAUCUGCAGUCAAUAAGUUUCAAUUCGUUCAAAAACUUUAACUUGUCAAGGCCCUCGACAAUCCGUAGCUCUGGGCUGGAAAAUAUUUUCAAAGACUUGAGGUUCUUUAAGUUUGACAAACCACCAAGACUUUGCAAAUGAUCACCAGAAAGUACCAAGUCUUCCAACGAUUCUGACAUACCAACAACUAGAAUGCUGAGUAUCUUAUCGCAAUUCUGUAGCAAGAGACGCCGCAACUUAUUGAAGACUUUCGAUUCAAGGAUCAGUGAAGAUUCAUGAGAAGAUUCUGAAUGUAUGUUGACGUACACGAACCUUCUGAAAGACUUACACUCACUGAUAUCCAAUUUUUUCAACGAUUCCAGCACCCCAGCAAUGUGGACCUCAUCUAAUUUUGGGCAGCCACUCACGCUGACCUCUUUUAGCUUCGUCAUGCUGGAUAGCAUGAAUCUCUCAAGGGGUUCACCUCCAUUAAUAUAAAGCUUCGUUAAAUCUGGAAGCUGAAGCCCAUCAAGUAUAAUCUCUUGCAUUUGAGAGCGAACGAGCCUUAAAUCCGACAAAUUCUUUAGGGUGGAGGAGAGAAAAGCGAUUGAAUUGAAAUUCUGAACAAUUAGAGUAGAGGGAACUUGCUCUAGGGGUUGCUGGUUCAAUCCAUACCACCGGAGUUCGUUAAUCUGAGGAAGGGAAGCCAACUCAGUGGAAGCAGGGACAUGGAGGAGACACAAGUUUAACAUUUCUGACCUCCCAUUCCCCCUCCAGUCACCAGUAUGAAUUCUAUCUCGUCCGUCAAUUUUGGAGCCAUUCUUUAGUCUCCAUUCAAUCAAAUCAGCCAAAUCAGAGUUUUCUUGGAAAACUGGAUCGAUGUCUCUGAAAACUGGCCAGACACUUUUGUAAAUUGGCAAAAGCUGCAAUGACUUAGAUGACACUAAUAAAUAGGUUAAACUUGUUGGGAGUGCUGGCAACUCUUGGAUUUCAUCACGCCCUUUUAACACCAGUUUUUGAAGCCGCUGAAGCAAACCAAUUUCAGAAGGAAGUGGACUUUUAGAAUUUCCUUUAAACAGAUGCAAUUUUAGAAUCUCAAACUUUCCGAUAGCACCUGGUAACUCCACUGGACCUAGAAUUGAAAGCUGCGACUCCCGUAAUGAUUUCCACUUAAAUAUGGAAUCUGGUAAUCCCCUUAUUUGACAACAAUCCCAUAAAGAGAAGUGCUCUAGAUCCCGUAGGUCCCCGAUUUUUUCAGUUAAACCUUCAAACCAAUGGCCAAAAUCAAACUUUAAGUAUUUCAGACGCUCUAACUUCCCAAUAGAGCCAUCAAUCUCUGUUAAACUGUCGCACUUCCUAAAAGUCAGCCUCUCCAAAGUUGAGCAUUCAGAUAAGUCUGGUGUUCUAGUUAUGCCAUGACAAUUAUCAAGCCUAAGAACUUUCAAUUUUCUUGCCUCCUGUAAAAAGUGAAUGCAUUAUCCAAUGGAGGAACAGUUCAAAUGUUGCUUUCAAGGAUAAAGAACAGAAAUAAGCAUAUGACGCACCUUUAUUAAGUUCCAUAAUUUCAGAUCAUCCAUACCAGCAAUGAAGGAAAAUUGAAGGACAACUACAUUCUUUAAGCACAUAUUGGUCAGCUCACACUCUAAAUCAGGAGCUUCCCAAUAAAUCCAUCUUAAAUUGGGAAAACAAUCCAUUAGAUCACCAACAAAGGUUCCUCCGCAAAGUUUAAGGAACCUUAGCUUUUUAAACCUUCCAAUCUCUUCACUUUUGAUAGAUACUCCUUUAUGACACAAGUUUAGUUCCAUUGCUUCAACGUUAUUCAUCUGCAAAUGAGAGCAAGAAACAAGUAGUAUUUAGCAUUCUAUUUUAUCAAGGAAAAGUAUUAAAACCAAGAAGAAAAAAGAGAAUCCAUCUGUUCUCUCAUAAGUGUUCCACCUCCUUUGUCUUUAUUGCAUCGAGGACUUCAUCCUCAAUCCAUAACCUACUACGCUGUUCAGGAUUCAUCAGACUUUCGUUACGAACAAUUCCCUUUCCGAAAUCUCUUAGCUGAUCGUGCAUCAAAAAUUGAUUGCCCUCUCCAAUCUUUAUCAAGGACUUGUUUUUGAGCACCUCAAUUCCAGAAAGUGGGAAAAGUCCACAAUCCUCCCACAUGUAAAUUGCGUUUGUCUUUUCCUCACCAAUGAAAAAGCAUGCAAUAUCCAGAAAAUUUUUUUGUUGCUCAGAACUCAAUGCAUCAUAGCUAACUUUCAACACUUCGAAAACACCUUGUGGAGGUAAUUUGCGUAACUCGUCCAAUUUUUCUUUCCAUAGUUCUUGUGUUUUAUAUUUCAGCAAUGAACCAACUACUGCAAUAGUCAAAGGAAGUCUUCCGCUAGCUUUUACAAUUUCCUUUGCAAUAGCAUAGUGAUCAUUUGAAGGAGAGUCCUUCUCAAACGCAUGUCUGUAGAGGAGCUCAAGCGCAUCAUCACCACUCAUCACCUUCAUUUCAUAAGGUAACACUUCGUACUUUGGUCUAGUGCUUUGCAAAAUAUCCUCAUUUCUAGUAGUAAUUAGUAUUCUAGACCCUGAACACAAAGCACCAUUUCCAACUAAUUUUUCCACUUGCUCAUUGUUAUCCACAUCAUCCAGCACAAUGAGGACCUUCUUAUUGCGAAGUGUUCCUUCGAUCCUCUUCAUUAGAUGUUCAGUUUCAUCGAUGCUUCCUAAUCCUAUGGCAUUUCCUAUUUCAGAUAAUAAUUUCCUUUGCAAUUUAACCAAACCAUCAGUUCUUGAUGAAUUUUCUCUAACAUUUUCAAGGAAGCAGCAACACUUUCCAAAGUGGGUAGAAAGUUCAUUGAACACGACCUUGGCAAGAGUCGUUUUACCGAUACCCCCCAUGCCAUGAAUUUGAAUGAGCCGCACACCUCCAGAGUGUAUGUCUAACAAAUUUCUUACUUCCACCACUCGAUCAUCAAUUCCAAUUAAAUGUUCAGUCACAGACUUUUGCUUUAUCUUCAACUUAAUUACAACCUCCUCGACGACCAACUUGAUUAGGUCAGCUUGGCUGUCAUGAAGGAAAACCAANNNNNNNNNNNNNNNNNNNNNNNNNNNNNNNNNNNNNNNNNNNNNNNNNNNNNNNNNNNNNNNNNNNNNNNNNNNNNNNNNNNNNNNNNNNNNNNNNNNNUGGGCGUUUCAUGCACAAUGAUAGGGUGCCAUGUGUCGCAUGUGGUCAUACCACCCGAAAAUUGACUUGAUCCCAACGUGAUGAGCAAUUUUCAAAUUCUGUUAAUCUAGUUUGUGCAAGAUAAAUGUACAACUAUUUAUGCAUCACGAAUUAGCAUAUUAUCAGUUAUAUUCAUGGGACAGUGGGACAUUAUAUGUUCAAGAGUAGAAAUAUUUGAUGUAAUAAUUGAAAGAUCAAAUUAUUAGACAGACGAGCAUGGUACUCAAUUAUUCCACUUCAUCACCUAUUAUAUAUAAUGCCUUUUCUCCAGCAGUUCCACUUUUUUUUUUUUUUUACACACAUGUACCAUUUAGUAUCGCUAGGGGAAGUUCCACCUCAAUUGUGGUGAUAUAUCUACAUUAUUAAGUUUUGAGUAAAAGUUCUAGAAGAAUUAGAAUUUCACUAAGAGUUGCUUACUAAGUGACAGAGGUGAAAAAUGAAACAAAAUUUAUAUAGACCAUCAACAAAAGGAAAAGAAUGAGCGUUCGUUUCUAUUUUCAGUUCUUCAUUAAAAAUAGACAUAUGAUAGCGCCUCUAGUGAAAUCAAGAACACUAUCAAUUUUAGUAGCUCUAGCGUGAAUUUUUAUGUUUUAGAAUUCUCUCCUCCUACCCGCAUCUAAUAUGUUCCUUCUAUCUGUGAAUUAUUUACUCAGUUUUAGCAAACAGGAAAAAAUAUUAGGGAAAAAGACGGAUCUUGGAAUGCAGCAUGCUCACCGAUCGCAUUUCUUGACUUCCCAUCCCUUUAUUGCAUCAACCUCCAUCAAAGCCUUUCUCCAGGAAUCUACUUCUUCAAUGCUCAAGUUAUCCUCGCCUUGCAAAAUGAGAAUGGCAUCGCGAUACAACCGGGUUUUCAUCUUAACAUCUUUAGGUUCCACAUCAAAGAAAAUAGGUAGGAUCUCUUUAUUCCCAUUUGACUUGGAGGUGUUCUCCAUAAUUUGCGUGAGUUCACGGAGACACCAUUUGCUCGAAGCGUAGGUUGGAGAGAAGAUGGGGAUGUAGAUCCUAGAGUUGUCAAUUGCUCUAUGGAGCGCUCCAUCGAUUCUUUCACCAACAUGGAGCUUUUCACUGUCUCGAAAGACGUGGAUACCAGUAUCGGUCAAGCUGUGGUAGAGGAAGUCGGUAAAUCCAUUACGAGUGUCAGGUCCUCUGAAGUUCAAGAACACUUGAUGCUCACAUUCUGAUGAUGCUUCUGCCUCUGAGUCUCCAUUUUAACUUUAGCUUUAGUAGCUCUNNNNNNNNNNNNNNNNNNNNNNNNNNNNNNNNNNNNNNNNNNNNNNNNNNNNNNNNNNNNNNNNNNNNNNNNNNNNNNNNNNNNNNNNNNNNNNNNNNNNNNNNNNNNNNNNNNNNNNNNNNNNNNNNNNNNNNNNNNNNNNNNNNNNNNNNNNNNNNNNNNNNNNNNNNNNNNNNNNNNNNNNNNNNNNNNNNNNNNNNNNNNNNNNNNNNNNNNNNNNNNNNNNNNNNNNNNNNNNNNNNNNNNNNNNNNNNNNNNNNNNNNNGACUUUUUGAAAAGAUUGCAUAUGUGAGAGAUUAUUUGAUAGGUGUGUUAUAUGCAUUUUCUAAGCAAAGAAUAUACCUUUCUUCAAUCUUGCCAAUUUUAAAAACACUACUAUGGACCUUAAAAAAAAAAAUUAUAAAAAACACUAUUCGAAUUUUUUAAAGAUUGUGAAACCUUAUAUGUGAAUCUAGGAAACUGGAAAAGACCGACAAUCAACAAACUUAAGAAAACCAAAAAUUCAAAAAGUAAAAAAGAAAAGUCAAUUCAAACUUACAUAAACAUAUAUAAUAACUAGUAUUAUAAAAUAAAAUACUAAAUCACGGAUUCUUCUAAAAACUUAAAUUUUUGGAACGGUUUGACAUUAGCCCGCAAUCUUUUCACAAAUCCACUUGUCCAUUCUUGUUAAGAAGCUGAUCGAGGAGACUUUAGGUCCAAUUACACAGGAAGGAACACAACAAAAUACAAAUGGGGAUUUUAGUCCCCGACGACCAGAUCCAGCCUCGAUUGUGGACAACGCACUCAUUCUGAGCAAGUAUUUCAUCAAACCGAAUUCUUCAGGGCAAAAUCCAGAAUAAGUCGAAGAGAAUCGUACCGUCUUCGUCGUCGCUGCUGCUGGAAAAGGGCUUCGUGAAGAUGAAUAUCGACGGCUCCCGGUACUGGCGAGCCAAUUCGCCGGAGGGGUCGGUUGCCGGAGUCGCUCGGGACGACCAGGGGACGUUGAUCCCUGGGUUUGCGACGAAGGUCGUCGCCUCAUCCUGCUCUGCACACGGAAAAUCCGCUUGUCCAUUCUUGUUAAGAAGCUGAUCGAGAAGACUUUUGGUUCAAUCACACAGGAAGGAACGCAACAAAAUACAAAUGGGUAUUUCAAUCCCCGACGACCAGAUCCGGCCUCGAUUGUGGACAACGCACUCAUUCUGAGCAAGGAUUUCGUCAAGCCGAACGCUUCAGGGCAAAUCCAGAAUAAGUCAGAAAUGAAUUGGACAGUGUUCGCGGUCGCUGCCGGGAAAGGGCUUGGUGAAGAUGAAUAUCGAUGGCUCCUGGUACUGGCUACCCGAUUCGUCUGAGGGGUCGGUUGUGUGGCCUCCUCUGCUCUGCACACGGAAAAGCCAGCCCCCAAACAAGUGUUUGUCAGUGACUGCGCGAGGAAAGGAAGCUCGAAGACGUUUCAAGUCUUCCUAGUGAUCUGAGCGUGACUUUAAGCUGAUAUGUACAAUGCAUGUCAGACUCGUUUCUAAGUCCAUGGGCCCUCCGGUGUUCAUUUCAGGAAUCAAAAGGAGUUUCAAUUUUGCAUGAUUAUGUUUUAGGAUAAAAGUUGCAAAAAAUUCUAAACCAUGCCUAGUUCGAUAUAUUUAUUUAUCUUAAAUUUUUUAUGAUAUCAAAAAUUUCAAAUUUGUAUUUAUUUGACACAUUAUAUUUAUCCCAAAUUUCUUCUUGUGACAUUAAAAAUUUCAANNNNNNNNNNNNNNNNNNNNNNNNNNNNNNNNNNNNNNNNNNNNNNNNNNNNNNNNNNNNNNNNNNNNNNNNNNNNNNNNNNNNNNNNNNNNNNNNNNNNNNNNNNNNNNNNNNNNNNNNNNNUAUCUGUAAAAUUUCUAUACAUAGAGUGGCUUGCUUGAUGUGUCAACCGUUAUCAGGUACAGUACUUCGAUGCGAACCUGAGAAGAACAAUAAUGCACUGGAAAAGGGUGAAAGGAAACAGCAAGGAAACCCUCGCAUGUCCAUACUUUAUGGAAGCGAAGCAAAGCAAUAGUCGACAAAAAGUUGAAGAGAGGCAUGAAGUUUCUAAAAAUGCCAAACAACUUUAUAGAAACUAGGUCGCAAGGUGCCCUUGCUUUUCCUAAAAUAAAUAAAUAAAAAUAAAAACCAACCUGCCUUUUGAGGCAAGCACAUUAAAAUUCUCUAUGGAGGCUUGUUCCAUUUUUCAAUUCUAACCAUUAGAAAGGACAUCCGAAAAACACAUACAUAAUUCAAGGAGGUGGCUUAUAUUUUGCAGCGUGCAUGCAUAUAAUUUAGGCAAUGGGAUUAUAUCGCGAAUCAUGAAAUUGAUUGGAUACUCUUAAAUACUCAAUACCCGAUAUCAACAGGAAACAACAUACAACAUAUUUUCUAUAUAUCUCCACGCGUGCAAAGAAUUUUGAUUCAAGUUUAGCUCCCUACAUUUUCUAGCACAAGUUGAUCUCUUUGAAAGGGAUUAAAAUGAUGAUGAUAUAUGUGCAAACACUUCAGAAUCUUCAAAAAGAGAGGAAGAAAGAAAAUAGUCAAAGGCUAUAUCUUAAGAAGGAACAAGCUCAUCUUGUGAUUACUCCCUUUAGUCGAUCUACAUCUCUGAUUGGAGGUAAAAUCUCUCAUUUUCCAUAAGCUUAUUGAAUCGACACAUCAUUCUAAAAAAUCAAGCUAUCUGAUUCAAUAUUUUACAGGUUCGUGCCAACUACAAUGUUAUAGGAGGAUGAAUGACAAAAAUAAAUGAAGUGCAGGCUCUGCUGAUGUCAUGACGAUUGUAAGUGGGGGUAUUUCCGCUGUUUUCAAACUCUCAAGCAACCUCAUUGGCGGUUCCACACCCUACGAAUUUCUUUUUUCUUCAGUUUUUGUUUCCUUUUGUUUAGGUUUUCCCUGAUUUUUAAAAUAAUUUCUUUGGUCUUUCUUCGCCUCAUUAGCACCAAUAUAGAAAGAAAUUACAAAGCACCACGUCCAAUUUUGGAAUCUACGUUAGCAAAUCUGGUUAUGAGUUUGUCGGAAGGAUUAAAUUGCAGCCAACAAAAAAACGUUUAGGACUUGAUUGCAUAUUUGGCCAAACAUUAUGGACUUUUUGGUGUAAGUUUCAUUUAUAAGUACCUAAAAUGAGAUCAGCAUAGUGGAUAACAAAUAUUCUUAUAAGAUAAUAACAAAUAAGGGUUACUCAAAUAAAAAUUCAUAGUUUGAUUCCCAUCCUACAUUGAUCUCUCCCACCGACUAGAACUUUGCUAUUGACGGGUUUUCCAAUGCAUCUCUUACCUUGAUUUGGCCUAUCCUUCCACAGCUGUAGAAUAAACUUGUAGAUUAGCAGCAAAAAUAGCAUUUGGUUGUGAUGACAGAUUUCGCGCCGACAAGCGCAAGAAAGGGAAAACGCGUGGAGUGGGGUCGCUACGUUCCCAGCCAUGCCGUGUAAUGAACACAUGAAGUUUCAACUCUAUAUCCUUGUGAAAUCCCCCGUGUAAAGGCAAGAAAAAUUGAAAACAUGUGGCACGACUCUAUUAUAUGUUGGCAAAAGCAAAAGGGGAGAGACUCAUGCAUGAUUGUUAUCUCUUUCAUAUUUUUUCCACAACUUUGUGUUUGUCUUUUUGACAAUUCGACUCAAUCAUGAAUAAGUCGAUAAAGGAUACAUAAAAGACAAAGAGAGGAAAGAGACUUAGAGGAUAGGAGACUUUUGCAAAUGGGGUCGAAAUUUUUUUAGGCUUCUUCAUUGAUGGGAUGUUAAGUUGAAAAUGAGAGAAACUGAGUUGGCAGGUACCUAUGCCUAUCCUUAAAGAAAAACAAUUAAAGUAACUUUUGGGUCAAGCACAUAAAAUCCUUUGGUGGGUUGUCAGGUAUCCUCAAAACACAAACAUAAUCGUUGAGAGGUGCCACAAAAGUAAUGUAAGGGACUGUAUCACGACUCAUUGAAUUGGUUAAAUGCAUAGAGAAUUAAAUAUUCAAAAAAAAAAAACUUCUUUUUGUAUAUCUUCGUGUGGGUGUAUAAUUUGCUUUAUGUUUAGCUCUCUCCAUUUUCCAAUAUAAGCUAAGCCAAAUAAUCAUAAAAUAUUAAUGAAAUAUAUAACUUAUAGUUUAAUAUAGCUAAGCCUCACAAUAAAGGAAAUAAAAAUGCCUAAGUUAGACAAAAUCAUCAUCCAUUUAAAAAUAGGACUCGCGUGUAAACCAAUUUGGUUGGAAAAUUUCAAUGCUAUAUAAUCAGUUUCUUUUGGCUCUGAUACCAAAUAAUUUGAGAUAAUAAGGAGAAGGGAAGCAAAAGCGGAAAGGGGAUGCCGAGAUCAACAAUCGACAACAAAGAAGAGAAAAAAAUGAUUCGUAAAAUUGAUUGAUGCUCUAAAAAUAUCAUAUACUCAAUAACAAACAACAUAAAACUUAUUUUUGUCUGUUUAUAUAUAUCUCCAUGCUUGCAUAUAAUUUGGUUCAACUUUAGCUCUCUCCAUUUUCCGGUAUAAGUUGAUCUUUUUUUUUUUUUUUGUCGAUCCUCCUCUAUUCUUACUCUAACACUCACUCUCAGACUUUUGUCCUACCUCAUUGCAGGGCGUGGGAGUCGAAACUCAUUCCGGAAACUAAAUCGUCCCCACCCCAACCUCCCCUGAGAAGGUGCGGAUUCGAACUCCCCACCUCCCUCUUCCAACUUGGAAGGGUGACCACUUGGGCAAACCCCAGCAGUUUUAUAAGUUGAUCUAUUUGAAAGGGGAUAAAAUGCCGACUAUAUACGUAUAAAUAUCCCUGGUUAGAGGUAAAAUAUUUCAUUUUUCAUAAGCCCAUUGAAUCGACAUAACAUUCUAAAAAAUCAAACUGUAUGAUUUGAUAUUUUACAGGUUUGUGCUAACUAAAAUGAAUAGGAUGAUGAGGACAAAGAAAAAGAACGCGCUAGCUCUGCUCAUGACANNNNNNNNNNNNNNNNNNNNNNNNNNNNNNNNNNNNNNNNNNNNNNNNNNNNNNNNNNNNNNNNNNNNNNNNNNNNNNNNNNNNNNNNNNNNNNNNNNNNNNNNNNNNNNNNNNNNNNNNNNNNNNNNNNNNNNNNNNNNNNNNNNNNNNNNNNNNNNNNNNNNNNNNNNNNNNNNNNNNNNNNNNNNNNNNNNNNNNNNNNNNNNNNNNNNNNNNNNNNNNNNNNNNNNNNNNNNNNNNNNNNNNNNNNNNNNNNNNNNNNNNNNNNNNNNNNNNNNNNNNNNNNNNNNNNNNNNNNNNNNNNNNNNNNNNNNNNNNNNNNNNNNNNNNNNNNNNNNNNNNNNNNNNNNNNNNNNNNNNNNNNNNNNNNNNNNNNNNNNNNNNNNNNNNNNNNNNNNNNNNNNNNNNNNNNNNNNNNNNNNNNNNNNNNNNNNNNNNNNNNNNNNNNNNNNNNNNNNNNNNNNNNNNNNNNNNNNNNNNNNNNNNNNNNNNNNNNNNNNNNNNNNNNNNNNNNNNNNNNNNNNNNNNNNNNNNNNNNNNNNNNNNNNNNNNNNNNNNNNNNNNNNNNNNNNNNNNNNNNNNNNNNNNNNNNNNNNNNNNNNNNNNNNNNNNNNNNNNNNNNNNNNNNNNNNNNNNNNNNNNNNNNNNNNNNNNNNNNNNNNNNNNNNNNNNNNNNNNNNNNNNNNNNNNNNNNNNNNNNNNNNNNNNNNNNNNNNNNNNNNNNNNNNNNNNNNNNNNNNNNNNNNNNNNNNNNNNNNNNNNNNNNNNNNNNNNNNNNNNNNNNNNNNNNNNNNNNNNNNNNNNNNNNNNNNNNNNNNNNNNNNNNNNNNNNNNNNNNNNNNNNNNNNNNNNNNNNNNNNNNNNNNNNNNNNNNNNNNNNNNNNNNNNNNNNNNNNNNNNNNNNNNNNNNNNNNNNNNNNNNNNNNNNNNNNNNNNNNNNNNNNNNNNNNNNNNNNNNNNNNNNNNNNNNNNNNNNNNNNNNNNNNNNNNNNNNNNNNNNNNNNNNNNNNNNNNNNNNNNNNNNNNNNNNNNNNNNNNNNNNNNNNNNNNNNNNNNNNNNNNNNNNNNNNNNNNNNNNNNNNNNNNNNNNNNNNNNNNNNNNNNNNNNNNNNNNNNNNNNNNNNNNNNNNNNNNNNNNNNNNNNNNNNNNNNNNNNNNNNNNNNNNNNNNNNNNNNNNNNNNNNNNNNNNNNNNNNNNNNNNNNNNNNNNNNNNNNNNNNNNNNNNNNNNNNNNNNNNNNNNNNNNNNNNNNNNNNNNNNNNNNNNNNNNNNNNNNNNNNNNNNNNNNNNNNNNNNNNNNNNNNNNNNNNNNNNNNNNNNNNNNNNNNNNNNNNNNNNNNNNNNNNNNNNNNNNNNNNNNNNNNNNNNNNNNNNNNNNNNNNNNNNNNNNNNNNNNNNNNNNNNNNNNNNNNNNNNNNNNNNNNNNNNNNNNNNNNNNNNNNNNNNNNNNNNNNNNNNNNNNNNNNNNNNNNNNNNNNNNNNNNNNNNNNNNNNNNNNNNNNNNNNNNNNNNNNNNNNNNNNNNNNNNNNNNNNNNNNNNNNNNNNNNNNNNNNNNNNNNNNNNNNNNNNNNNNNNNNNNNNNNNNNNNNNNNNNNNNNNNNNNNNNNNNNNNNNNNNNNNNNNNNNNNNNNNNNNNNNNNNNNNNNNNNNNNNNNNNNNNNNNNNNNNNNNNNNNNNNNNNNNNNNNNNNNNNNNNNNNNNNNNNNNNNNNNNNNNNNNNNNNNNNNNNNNNNNNNNNNNNNNNNNNNNNNNNNNNNNNNNNNNNNNNNNNNNNNNNNNNNNNNNNNNNNNNNNNNNNNNNNNNNNNNNNNNNNNNNNNNNNNNNNNNNNNNNNNNNNNNNNNNNNNNNNNNNNNNNNNNNNNNNNNNNNNNNNNNNNNNNNNNNNNNNNNNNNNNNNNNNNNNNNNNNNNNNNNNNNNNNNNNNNNNNNNNNNNNNNNNNNNNNNNNNNNNNNNNNNNNNNNNNNNNNNNNNNNNNNNNNNNNNNNNNNNNNNNNNNNNNNNNNNNNNNNNNNNNNNNNNNNNNNNNNNNNNNNNNNNNNNNNNNNNNNNNNNNNNNNNNNNNNNNNNNNNNNNNNNNNNNNNNNNNNNNNNNNNNNNNNNNNNNNNNNNNNNNNNNNNNNNNNNNNNNNNNNNNNNNNNNNNNNNNNNNNNNNNNNNNNNNNNNNNNNNNNNNNNNNNNNNNNNNNNNNNNNNNNNNNNNNNNNNNNNNNNNNNNNNNNNNNNNNNNNNNNNNNNNNNNNNNNNNNNNNNNNNNNNNNNNNNNNNNNNNNNNNNNNNNNNNNNNNNNNNNNNNNNNNNNNNNNNNNNNNNNNNNNNNNNNNNNNNNNNNNNNNNNNNNNNNNNNNNNNNNNNNNNNNNNNNNNNNNNNNNNNNNNNNNNNNNNNNNNNNNNNNNNNNNNNNNNNNNNNNNNNNNNNNNNNNNNNNNNNNNNNNNNNNNNNNNNNNNNNNNNNNNNNNNNNNNNNNNNNNNNNNNNNNNNNNNNNNNNNNNNNNNNNNNNNNNNNNNNNNNNNNNNNNNNNNNNNNNNNNNNNNNNNNNNNNNNNNNNNNNNNNNNNNNNNNNNNNNNNNNNNNNNNNNNNNNNNNNNNNNNNNNNNNNNNNNNNNNNNNNNNNNNNNNNNNNNNNNNNNNNNNNNNNNNNNNNNNNNNNNNNNNNNNNNNNNNNNNNNNNNNNNNNNNNNNNNNNNNNNNNNNNNNNNNNNNNNNNNNNNNNNNNNNNNNNNNNNNNNNNNNNNNNNNNNNNNNNNNNNNNNNNNNNNNNNNNNNNNNNNNNNNNNNNNNNNNNNNNNNNNNNNNNNNNNNNNNNNNNNNNNNNNNNNNNNNNNNNNNNNNNNNNNNNNNNNNNNNNNNNNNNNNNNNNNNNNNNNNNNNNNNNNNNNNNNNNNNNNNNNNNNNNNNNNNNNNNNNNNNNNNNNNNNNNNNNNNNNNNNNNNNNNNNNNNNNNNNNNNNNNNNNNNNNNNNNNNNNNNNNNNNNNNNNNNNNNNNNNNNNNNNNNNNNNNNNNNNNNNNNNNNNNNNNNNNNNNNNNNNNNNNNNNNNNNNNNNNNNNNNNNNNNNNNNNNNNNNNNNNNNNNNNNNNNNNNNNNNNNNNNNNGCUCAAGUAGUUUCAUGUUUGUUUCCCAAUGUUCAAGUGAGUGAUGCUUAUCUCUUCUAAGAUUUGGAAACCAUGUAUUGAAAAAAUAAAAAGGAAAAGUGGUGUUUCAAGCAUAUUUGUUGUAUAAGUCUAGAUCAAGUAAUUACUACCCGUUUGUUCAUUGGAUAUUGCAUAGUAAACCAUUUCUUAAAAUAGUUUGUGAGUUAAUUAUUUGUUAUAAGGUUUGGGAAAUGCUAUGUAAAAAGUAUUGUGCUUGAUGGAUUAAAUUAUGAAAGGCUAUAUGAUUUGUGAAUCCAAUUUAUGAAAUAAAUUCAGAGUUGGUUUUGUAGAUGGUUGGAUAAUGAGUUAGUUGUUUAUCAUAAUCACUAUGAUCUAAAUCUUUACGGGGUUGAACAUAUGCAUAUUGUUCUUAAGAAUUGGUUUUGUCGAUGGUUGGAUAAUGAGUUAGUUGUUUAUCAUAAUCACUAUGAUCUAAACCUUUAUAGAGUUGAACAUAUGCAUAUUGUUCUUAAGACAUGCCAUUAGGACCAAGCCACCAGUUGUCAUUGGCAAAGGCAUACGUGACCAAAUAAACAUUGUUAAGCUACAUAAAACAACUAUUUUGUGAGAUAAUUGGAGCAAGGUUAGCGAAUCAUACAAAAAAAGAGUGCUAGACACCCUAAGUGCCAAAACUUGGCAUGGGUAAAUACUUAAGUACUAGAACUUCUAAAAGGUACACUUAAGUACCAAAAUCAGAGAAGAAAAGAACAUUUAAGUGCCAACGGCGAGAAUUUGCAACUAAACUAUUGAUGUGGCUCUUUCCGGCAAGAUUUUCUUACUGAUGUGGCAAUUCUUUUAAAAAACUUAUCUACAUGAUGCUAACGUAGCUAGAUAUGCCCAAAACGAUGUCGUUUUGACUCCAAAUUUGAUUUUUAAAUUAAAAAACUAAAUUACAAAAAAGGAAAAAAGAGGGAGGUAGCAUUCGGCAAGGGCCUCCAUAGCCCUUGCCAUCACUGCCGCCACCCCACCACCGUCGAAAAGGGCCAAUGAUGAUGGGAUGAGGGUUAGCCGGGGUCACCAAACCCGAGCAAGUGGCCAAUGACCCUAGUUGAACGCCAACAAGGGCCUGUAGGUCCUCAUCCAAAUCUAGGGUGAGAGGUCGUGGGUGACCCCAUCACAACUAACGGCGGCCCUUAGCCCCUUUAGGCAAGGGCCAGUGACCCCGAUCGACCUUUGCCCCAUUAUCGUCGACCCUUUCCAACGAUGGUGAGGCAACCGUGGCAAGGGCUAUGGAGGCCCUCAAUGAAUGCUACCUCUCUCCUCUUUUUUUUUUUUUUUUUUUUUUUAAUUUAGUUUUUUAGUUUAAUAUAAUUAAUAAUUAUAUUAAAAAUCAAAUUUGGGGGCAAAACGAUGUCGUUUUGCACAUUAAUUACUAAGUAGACAACUCUAGCGAGCCACAUAGACCAUAUUUAUUAUUAAAAUAAUGUCAUAUCGGAUUUCUGGCUAUCUUCACUAGGGGUGAGCAUCGGUCCAGGGUCAAUCCUAGACUGACCCUAGACCGAUCCAAUCCUGCCGAUCCUGGUCCGGUUCCCAGGGAGACUGGGUCGGUCCUUAGUCCUGAGAGUUCCAGGUCGGUCCAACCUGAAUCAACCCUAACUAUAUAUAUAUAAUAAAUUAUUUAUAAUUUUUUAUAAAGAGAAAACCUUAAAAUAAAUGGCGUCAACAACAUUAAACAGCUCUUUAGUGAGGAGUUCAAGUAAUUUUACAUUGUUCUUCAAUAACUUAGGUUUUUAAUGUCUUUUACGGCGUCAAUAGUCACAAUUUAUGAAGGAAGAAAAUGUUUUUGUGAGGAGUCCUCACGGUGGCAUCCAAAAAGGCACCUUAUGGCAUCCUCCUCUAGUAUUCGUUAUCUUCUAUCUUAUUUUCCUCUUAGUCUUUAAUUUGCUAAAAUCGAAAAAAAAAAAAAACAACUUCUCCGCUUGCCACUCGACACUCGCCUCGCUUGCCUUAGGUUACCCGUGUUGCUCGCUGCUCGAUACUCGCUUGGCUUGUUGCUCCCCGCUCGACAUUCAAUGCUCAUUCUGUUCGACGCUUACCCCACUUGACCCUCAUUGCUUGCCUUUCUUAGCUAACCUUGCUCAUCAUCGAAUCCAUUGGGUCGAUACGGUUCUCGAUUGACCUUUCAAGGAGUACAAAAAAUGAAAUAAAAAAUUAUUGGUUAGUCCUAGGUUGACCUUGAAACAGGACCGAACCUAUUGGGAUUAGUCUAGUCCUUAAUUGCUUUUUUAAGGAGUUAUGAAAAAUGGAAAUAAAAAUUAUCAGUUGGGUCCCGGGNNNNNNNNNNNNNNNNNNNNNNNNNNNNNNNNNNNNNNNNNNNNNNNNNNNNNNNNNNNNNNNNNNNNNNNNNNNNNNNNNNNNNNNNNNNNNNNNNNNNUGCUUUUUUAGGAGUAUGAAAAAUGAAAUAAAAAAUUAUCAGUUGGUCCCGGGUUGACCCUAGAACAUGAUCGAAUCCAUUGGGUUGGUUCGGUCUUCGGUCUUAAGCUCAAAAAGGUUGGUCCUCAGUCCCAAAAAUUGAGGACCAGCACUGUGCGGGUUAGUCCUAGAGUUAUGGGGUGGACCAGCUCAACCCGGACCAUGCUCACCCCUAAUCUUCACUAGAGUUGGCAUUUAAGUGUCCAAUUUUCAAAAAUAGUUGCACUUAAGUGUACAUUUUAGAUAUCUUGGUACUUGAGUGUCCACCUGUGCCAAAUUUUCACACUUGUAGUGUACCUUUGCCUACAAAAAAUGUUAAAAUUUGCAAAUAAUAGUAGUAAACUCAAGGCGUUGCCAAGAAAGGUAAAUAAAAAUUAGUAAAAGAUAAACAAAGGUUUUUGUCAAAGAUAGAAGAAGAUGGUAAUUUAAAAACAAAUAUAUAUAUAUAUAUAUAUAUAUAUAUAUAUAUAUAUAUUGGCAAGUAUCUUAAAAAAAAUAUACUAGCAAUCACUCUAAUGAAGUUGGCAAUUUCAAAAAAGAGAUGGUAAAUUGAAAAUUUCAGUGAGUGAGGCCAAUAAAAGUGGUAACUCAAUAAAAAAUCUAGUCCAUGUAAGUAAAAAUAGUUAACUAUUGAUAAGCAACUCAAAUGAGAGUUAGAAACUCAAAACUAGUUGGUAAUUUGACCCCAGUAACUUUGUAAGGUCAUGCAAACAAAGAUUGAUAAUUUCAUAUAGCAGUUGGUAAAUUUAAACCUUUAGUAAGAAAGGUAAAUAAAAGUUGGUAAGUAAUUAGAGAAGCUUUUUUUGGUUAAAGAUAAGAGAAGUUGGUAAUUUAAAAGCAAACCCCAAAGAAACAUUGGUAGCUAACUCAAGUAGGAGUCGGUAUGCAAAAUAAGUUGGAAACUUAAUUAGUUAAAAGUAGGCAAUCACUAAAAAUUUCUAAAAACAACCGGUAGAUUUAUAAAGUUUGUAAAGAAGGCAAACAAAAGAAGUGACUUAAUAAAAAUUUGGUAAAUAAAAAUAUUAAAUGAACUUUGUUAUAAGCAACUCAAAUGAGAGAUGGCAACACAUAGCCACUAGGUUACUUAAUUGGAGUGACAUGAUUAGUAACUAAAUUGAAGAUCGGUAAUUUUAUCUGGUAGUUGAUAAAUUUAAAACAUUCAUGGUAAACAGGAUGAGUUUUUUUUUUUUUUUAGUCAAUCACAAGGGAAAGUUUUAAUUAAAAAUAAACAAACAUCAAUAGCUAACUCAACUAAGUAUAUGUAAUGCAAAUUUUGUUAAUGACUUGAUUGGAUAAUGUUGAGAAUCACUCCAAUUCCAUUUUCCAUUAGAAAUUUCUAAGGAGUUGGUAGAUUUAACAAGCGGGUAAAGAAGGCAAAUCAAAGUUGGUAACUCAUUGAAAAAGUGGAUAAAAUUUUUAGAAAAAUAAACAUUGGUUGGCAAUUCAAAUGAAACUUAGUAAAUCAAAGCUAUUCAAUAAUCUAAUGGGAGAACAACUGUUAAUUCACACAAUUAAAGGUUGAUGAAGUCAUAUAAAAGUGGAUAAAUUUAAGUCAUCUAUAAGAGAGACAAAUAAAAGUUGGUAAUAAUAAGAAAAUUUGAUAAAUUAAAGUAAAAUCAAAUAAAUAUCAGUAAGUAAUUCAAAUGAAAGCUGGAAAACCAAAACUAGUUGGUAAUUUGAUCGGAAAAAAAGUUGAUAAGUCACUCAAAUAAAUGUCAAAAGAUUAAUAUAUUUGUUGGUAAAUAUUAACGAUUCAAGCAAAAAGUUAGUGUAAACUGUGGAAGGAGUUGGUAAUUUCAUGAAACUCUUACUAAAUUACCAAUAAGUUAGGGAAUAAUAAUAGACCAGUAGCUUAUUUCUACUUUUAUUUUUAUAUUUAUUAACUGUCACACCCGAUCCUUGAGCGCGUGCACAUCCCUCGGUGGUCAAUGAAAUUGCGACUUCCCAGGACAAGUCAUCGACCCUUUCAUUUUAUUGCACAUGCAGAAGCGAAUAAACAAAUCCCCUGUCAACAACCAUCUCGGGAUAGAAAAGCAGGACAAUCAAAUCACAAAAGCCACGUUUACAUAAACAAACUAAUUUAUACACAGAGGCCAACUCUAGGGUCUAUGUACAGGAGGUCUAUCUUCAAAAAGAACUAUUGAGCCACCCAUGCUCUUGACCCUUCCGCCUCAAACUCCGGAUUCUUCACACUAGAGACUCGAAAAUGGUAACCCACGACAGGGUAAGAUAUAAAUCUCAACAAGUUCACGCCCUAAACCCCGAUUAGGAAGAUAAUAUACCUAGAGGCAGCCUACACACAUAGCCAAUGAGACUCACCUUGCCUCAUUUUUUUCUUGCAUGUCAGUACAGUUCAUUAAACAUAAGCAGAUAAUCAACGCCAUACGUUAAUUGGAGCUGCAGGCUAUCAAACCAAUCAAACACAGAAUCCCGAUAUAAAACCAAUCAUUAUGACACGUCUCAUACCGUACCACAUAAUUUUAUCCCAUAAUCAGGCGCGGGUAACUCAUAUCGGUGGUUCAUUUCCCACCCGAUAUUCACUCUUAAUACUCAAAUUCCCAAUUUAAACUCAACAUCCCCACUCAAUAUUCCGACUCCACAUUCUAACUCAAUGCUCAAACUCAAUAACAGACUCAAGGCUCUAAAGGUGACCCACACGAAGUCUCGCUAUCAUGUAGUACUUACCCUUGACAACAAAUAGCAAUAGUACAAGGCACUAGAGGCGACUCACACGAAGUCUCGCUAUCUUGUAGUACUUAGUCCUUGACAACAAAAAAAACAAUAGUACAAGGCACUAGAGACGACUCACAUGAAGUCUCGCUAUUGUGUAUAUGACACCCCCGAAUGGUCCCCGAUCCGCUAGGGUCGCCAGUCCACUUGCCUUUCUCUUGACCUGAUAAUAUAUUACUCUGAUACCUGUCGCGACCCGAUCUCGCCGCCCCUCGAAAAGUGUCCAAGGAGGGAAAGGUCGGGUUUAGGGGUACUUGAUCUCAAGAUCACGAGCUCUCCCAAGCUCGUACCCCACGUGACAGCAUAUUUAUUUAUACGAUCUAGGUAUUUAACAACCUAAAAAAUAGACAGGAGUCGCCACUAGCCUCAUUUUUGGGGGUCGGCUAGAAACCCAAUUGAGGGUCGGGAGUGGUCCCUCGAUUCCUACGCAACCAGAUAUCUAGGUUCGGGGACUUGGGUUACGCUAAUAUUGCUAUUAGCGCCCUUUCGGUACCUAAACAGUAUGUUGUGUUUUUCCUAACAUGUCAAUGCGUUUCUUUUAUAUUUUCAGGAUCAUCAAUUCUAUACUAAAUGAUCAUGCGUGAUGGAUUACUUUCAUUCUAUUCUAUUCCUAAGAAAUGAAAGGAAAACAAACAAUGAAAUUAAAUUAAAUUGCAAGACAUGAAGUAAACAAUCAAGAAAAGCAGUUAAACCUAAUCAUGCAAUUCUAAAAAAUAUAAAAGAGAAAACAAUUGGGAAAGAAAGGAAACCCGCACCUCGUCGGGUUUUAUACAAUGCAUGGAACCCGAGACAUAUGUCGGGAAAAUGAGCAUUACAUGAUAACGGUCGGAGUGGACAUCGACCUCCACCAUCUUCACGCCUUACCCCUUCUCCAUCUUCGGGGUCCUAAUCUAAACCUAAUCUAAGAAACAAGAAUCCCUUGCCUCAUCUUAUAUGACUAAGACAAUGCAUAGAAAUCAUUAUUAUAAUGAAUAGACAUAGGCAUCAGACAUGAACAUGAAUCCAGCAAAUUCAAGUCACAAACAGGACAAAAUACAAUGCAUGUUUAAAGGUUCGUAAGACCACCUAGACAAUGUACAAAAAUGUGAAACUUGCACAUGACAUAAGGUUGAAUGCGAAAAAGGUUUGGGUAAACAUUUAACCCUAAAUCAGAAUACAAAGAAGUCACACAAGUCAUUAACAUUGCAAAGUGACUUGGAACUAAGAAGCAAAAUGCAUGACAAUUUCAGUUGUGGUAUAUCGACUUGAAUUCUAAGAUUACUUGACCUUAAAAAUUCUCAAAUUUUAGCAUGGGAUGGAUAUGGACAUUAUGGACAGCCUUCAUUGAGAAUUUAUCCUCAAGAUCAUUAUGUAUAAGAUCACACAAAAUUGGUAGACAGUCAGAUUCAUAGAGACAAGACAGCACUGCAGGUCAAGACAAAUUCAGACUUCAAAACUUGAUCUAAAAAAAAAAAAAAAAGCAGGGCAAAUGAUGGGAAAAUUGGACAAACUAGGCAUCGUUAGAAAGCUCAAGGUGUCCUUUACGAAUUCCUAUUAGGUGACAAUUGCAAUUUAGGUCUUUUUCUAGCUCAAGCAAAGCCAUUUGUAUAAGUGGUCAGAUCAGAUCAUAACAAGCAGAACACAUCAGCAGAUUAGUGCUCUUUGCAAGAAGCAUCAGGCAGGGCAAAUGGUGGCCAAAUCGCACAUAUUAUAUGUCUAUGGAAAGCUUGAAAAGUCUAUUACAAAUCUCUAGAAGACAUUAAACCCUAAUAACAUCAUCUACCAGUUCAUAUCAAGCGGUUUAUACAGAAGGUCAUCCGAAACAGAGAAACAAAUAUUUGGCAGAUUCUGGACCUAACUUUGGACAGGCAAAAACCAUAUUAAAUGAAGUCCGAUUAGGGCAUUCUAUAGCUUAUUGGAAAGAUAAUCGAACCAUCUUCAACCUAUAUGAAGACUUCGAACACAGACAACCACAGCAACCCGCUCAUCUCACGUCAUUUUGCACAGAAGGUCAGAUCAGAACACAGAACACAAUAAACAACACAGAUUCAGUAACAAUGGCACAAUGAGUGGUAUCAGAUCUAUAUACUCGGUAAAUCAACUUCUAAGAAAUGUUUCAUAUCAACACGUUUUCAGAUCUGACAUUAUCAUGAUCUAUUUCUCGCUCAUGCUUUUGAGGUAUUUCGUCAAACACUUCACGUACAACAAAACGAUUAACUCAAGCUAUGGAACGGGACUGAAGCUAUGUUCUCAUCUAACAUUCUAAAAUCAAUAUUAAAAUCACAGAGCCAUCACAAGUCAUCUAGUUACAGCUCAGAUCUUAAGUGAAUCACACCUGAACUACGUGAACGUGAUUCUUCUACAAAUCUUUUUGUAACAGAGCAGGAGAGAGGGGAAUGAGUUUACCUGGUUUAUCAGUGAUACGGAUACUGAUCGAGCCAGAGACAGAGAGCUGAGCCGAGGCUUCCAACUCGGCGUGAACCCGAACCACUGUAUCUCGAGCUCCGGAAGGGCGCGAUUCGCAACGAGGGCGUUAGAUCCAACCGAGAGAGCGAUUACCAGAGAAAACGAACGAGAGAGGGGAAGGUCAGAAUCCAAGACCCGAACGGAUUGAGAGAGAGAACAGAAAUCCAAACCCUAACAAAUCGAGAGGGAUAGAAAGAAAGCUCACCGAUCGAGCGAGCUCGAUCCAGAGAGAAAAAUCGGUCAAGCGUUGUUGUCGUCGCAACUGUCGCCGAUCCUUGUCCCAAACCGAGAGAGAAAUUUGCUGAGGGAGAGAUUCUCUGGUUUCUACCCCUUCGACAAGAGCUCGGGUGGUUGAUGAUGAACGGAAAAGGUCGAAUCAAUGGUGGAAUCGAAAAAUUAGGGCUUGCGGCCGAGGAGGGGCUCGAGCUGAGGGCACGCGCACGGCAGAUCCGCUCCGCGAUGGUGUCGACGACUUCUCGACCUCGCUGCUGGGUGAUUCCCUCGCUCCUCUUUC